GGCCCGCCCAUAGCUCCUUCGACGGCGCCGCCUAGGAACGCGGAGAAAAUAUGACAAAGGAACGGCCAAAAAUAAAAAGAAAGACCUUUCUUUUGAAAAAACAAACAAAAAAAAGAAAUGCAACACGAGGACUUCCCAGGAGGUCACCCAUCCUAGUACUACUCUCGCCCAAGCAUGCUUAACUUCGGAGUUCUGAUGGGAUCCGGUGCUUUAGUGUUGGUAUGAUCGCAUCCGACAUACCGUGCGUUCUCCUCCCCUUUAUGCCCGCGCCUCCGUGUACGGCCCGCCCAUAGCUCCUUCGACGGCGCCGCCUAGGAACGCGGAGAAAAUAUGACAAAGGAACGGCCAAAAAUAAAAAGAAAGACCUUUCUUUUGAAAAAACAAACAAAAAAAAGGAAUGCAACACGAGGACUUCCCAGGAGGUCACCCAUCCUAGUACUACUCUCGCCCAAGCACGCUUAACUUCGGAGUUCUGAUGGGAUCCGGUGCUUUAGUGCUGGUAUGAUCGCAUCCGACAUACCGUGCGUUCUCCUCCCCUUUAUGCCCGCGCCUCCGUGUACGGCCCGCCCAUAGCUCCUUCGACGGCGCCGCCUAGGAACGCGGAGAAAAUAUGACAAAGGAACGGCCAAAAAUAAAAAGAAAGACCUUUCUUUUGAAAAAACAAACAAAAAAAAGGAAUGCAACACGAGGACUUCCCAGGAGGUCACCCAUCCUAGUACUACUCUCGCCCAAGCACGCUUAACUUCGGAGUUCUGAUGGGAUCCGGUGCUUUAGUGCUGGUAUGAUCGCAUCCGACAUACCGUGCGUUCUCCUCCCCUUUAUGCCCGCGCCUCCGUGUACGGCCCGCCCAUAGCUCCUUCGACGGCGCCGCCUAGGAACGCGGAGAAAAUAUGACAAAGGAACGGCCAAAAAUAAAAAGAAAGACCUUUCUUUUGAAAAAACAAACAAAUAAAAGGAAUGCAACACGAGGACUUCCCAGGAGGUCACCCAUCCUAGUACUACUCUCGCCCAAGCACGCUUAACUUCAGAGUUCUGAUGGGAUCCGGUGCUUUAGUGCUGGUAUGAUCGCAUCCGACAUACCGUGCGUUCUCCUCCCCUUUAUGCCCGCGCCUCCGUGUACGGCCCGCCCAUAGCUCCUUCGACGGCGCCGCCUAGGAACGCGGAGAAAAUAUGACAAAGGAACGGCCAAAAAUAAAAAGAAAGACCUUUCUUUUGAAAAAACAAACAAAUAAAAGGAAUGCAACACGAGGACUUCCCAGGAGGUCACCCAUCCUAGUACUACUCUCGCCCAAGCACGCUUAACUUCGGAGUUCUGAUGAGAUCCGGUGCUUUAGUGCUGGUAUGAUCGCAUUCGACAUACCGUGCGUUCUCCUCCCCUUUAUGCCCGCGCCUCCAUGUACGGCCCGCCCAUAGCUCCUUCGACGGCGCCGCCUAGGAACGCGGAGAAAAUAUGACAAAGGAACGGCCACGAAUAAAAAGAGAGACCUUUCUUUUGAAAAAACAAACGCCUCCGUGUACGGCCCGCCCAUAGCUCCUUCGACGGCGCCGCCUAGGAACGCGGAGAAAAUAUGACAAAGGAACGGCCAAAAAUAAAAAGAAAGACCUUUCUUUUGAAAAAACAAACAAAAAAAAGGAAUGCAACACGAGGACUUCCCAGGAGGUCACCCAUCCUAGUACUACUCUCGCCCAAGCACGCUUAACUUCGGAGUUCUGAUGGGAUCCGGUGCUUUAGUGCUGGUAUGAUCGCAUCCGACAUACCGUGCGUUCUCCUCCCCUUUAUGCCCGCGCCUCCGUGUACGGCCCGCCCAUAGCUCCUUCGACGGCGCCGCCUAGGAACGCGGAGAAAAUAUGACAAAGGAACGGCCAAAAAUAAAAAGAAAGACCUUUCUUUUGAAAAAACAAACAAAUAAAAGGAAUGCAACACGAGGACUUCCCAGGAGGUCACCCAUCCUAGUACUACUCUCGCCCAAGCACGCUUAACUUCGGAGUUCUGAUGGGAUCCGGUGCUUUAGUGCUGGUAUGAUCGCAUCCGACAUACCGUGCGUUCUCCUCCCCUUUAUGCCCGCGCCUCCGUGUACGGCCCGCCCAUAGCUCCUUCGACGGCGCCGCCUAGGAACGCGGAGAAAAUAUGACAAAGGAACGGCCAAAAAUAAAAAGAAAGACCUUUCUUUUGAAAAAACAAACAAAAAAAAGGAAUGCAACACGAGGACUUCCCAGGAGGUCACCCAUCCUAGUACUACUCUCGCCCAAGCACGCUUAACUUCGGAGUUCUGAUGGGAUCCGGUGCUUUAAUGCUGGUAUGAUCGCAUCCGACAUACCGUGCGUUCUCCUCCCCUUUAUGCCCGCGCCUCCGUGUACGGCCCGCCCAUAGCUCCUUCGACGGCGCCGCCUAGGAACGCGGAGAAAAUAUGACAAAGGAACGGCCAAAAAUAAAAAGAAAGACCUUUCUUUUGAAAAAACAAACAAAAAAAAGGAAUGCAACACGAGGACUUCCCAGGAGGUCACCCAUCCUAGUACUACUUUCGCCCAAGCACGCUUAACUUCGGAGUUCCGAUGGGAUCCGGUGCUUUAGUCCUGGUAUGAUCGCAUCCGACAUACCGUGCGUUCUCCUCCCCUUGAGGCCCGCGCCUCCGUGUACGGCCCGCCCAUAGCUCCUUCGACGGCGCCGCCUAGGAACGCGGAGAAAAUAUGACAAAGGAACGGCCCACAACUAGAAAGAAAGACCUUUCUUUUGAAAAGACAGACAAACAAAAGGAAUGCAACACGAGGACUUCCCAGGAGGUCACCCAUCCUAGUACUACUCUCGCCCAAGCACGCUUAACUUCGGAGUUCUGAUGGGAUCCGGUGCUUUAGUGCUGGUAUGAUCGCAUCCGACAUACCGUGCGUUCUCCUCCCCUUUAUGCCCGCGCCUCCGUGUACGGCCCGCCCAUAGCUCCUUCGACGGCGCCGCCUAGGAACGCGGAGAAAAUAUGACAAAGGAACGGCCAAAAAUAAAAAGAAAGACCUUUCUUUUGAAAAAACAAACAAAUAAAAGGAAUGCAACACGAGGACUUCCCAGGAGGUCACCCAUCCUAGUACUACUCUCGCCCAAGCACGCUUAACUUCGGAGUUCUGAUGGGAUCCGGUGCUUUAGUGCUGGUAUGAUCGCAUCCGACAUACCGUGCGUUCUCCUCCCCUUUAUGCCCGCGCCUCCGUGUACGGCCCGCCCAUAGCUCCUUCGACGGCGCCGCCUAGGAACGCGGAGAAAAUAUGACAAAGGAACGGCCAAAAAUAAAAAGAAAGACCUUUCAUUUUGAAAAAACAAACAAAAAAAAGGAAUGCAACACGAGGACUUCCCAGGAGGUCACCCAUCCUAGUACUACUCUCGCCCAAGCACGCUUAACUUCGGAGUUCUGAUGGGAUCCGGUGCUUUAGUGCUGGUAUGAUCGCAUCCGACAUACCGUGCGUUCUCCUCCCCUUUAUGCCCGCGCCUCCGUGUACGGCCCGCCCAUAGCUCCUUCGACGGCAGCCGCCUAGGAACGCGGAGAAUAUAUGACAAAGGAACGGCCAAAAAUAAAAAGAAAGACCUUUCUUAUGAAAAAACAGACAUACCCAAGGAAUGCAACACGAGGACUUCCCAGGUGCCCAAGCACGCUUAACUUCGGAGUUCUGAUGGGAUCCGGUGCUUUAGUGCUGGUAUGAUCGCAUCCGACAUACCGUGCGUUCUCCUCCCCUUUAUGCCCGCGCCUCCGUGUACGGCCCGCCCAUAGCUCCUUCGACGGCGCCGCCUAGGAACGCGGAGAAAAUAUGACAAAGGAACGGCCAAAAAUAAAAAGAAAGACACUUUCUUUUGAAAAAACAAACAAAAAAAAGGAAUGCAACACGAGGACUUCCCAGGAGGUCACCCAUCCUAGUACUACUCUCGCCCAAGCACGCUUAACUUCGGAGUUCUGAUGGGAUCCGGUGCUUUAGUGCUGGUAUGAUCGCAUCCGACAUACCGUGCGUUCUCCUCCCCUUUAUGCCCGCGCCUCCGUGUACGGCCCGCCCAUAGCUCCUUCGACGGCGCCGCCUAGGAACGCGGAGAAAAUAUGACAAAGGAACGGCCAAAAACAAAAAGAAAGACCUUUCUUUUGAAAAAACAAACGCCUCCGUGUACGGCCCGCCCAUAGCUCCUUCGACGGCGCCGCCUAGGAACGCGGAGAAAAUAUGACAAAGGAACGGCCAAAAAUAAAAAGAAAGACCUUUCUUUUGAAAAAACAAACAAAAAAAAGGAAUGCAACACGAGGACUUCCCAGGAGGUCACCCAUCCUAGUACUACUCUCGCCCAAGCACGCUUAACUUCGGAGUUCUGAUGGGAUCCGGUGCUUUAGUGCUGGUAUGAUCGCAUCCGACAUACCGUGCGUUCUCCUCCCCUUUAUGCCCGCGCCUCCGUGUACGGCCCGCCCAUAGCUCCUUCGACGGCGCCGCCUAGGAACGCGGAGAAAAUAUGACAAAGGAACGGCCAAAAAUAAAAAGAAAGACCUUUCUUUUGAAAAAACAAACGCCUCCGUGUACGGCCCGCCCAUAGCUCCUUCGACGGCGCCGCCUAGGAACGCGGAGAAAAUAUGACAAAGGAACGGCCAAAAAUAAAAAGAAAGACCUUUCUUUUGAAAAAACAAACAAAAAAAAGGAAUGCAACACGAGGACUUCCCAGGAGGUCACCCAUCCUAGUACUACUCUCGCCCAAGCACGCUUAACUUCGGAGUUCUGAUGGGAUCCGGUGCUUUAGUGCUGGUAUGAUCGCAUCCGACAUACCGUGCGUUCUCCUCCCCUUUAUGCCCGCGCCUCCGUGUACGGCCCGCCCAUAGCUCCUUCGACGGCGCCGCCUAGGAACGCGGAGAAAAUAUGACAAAGGAACGGCCAAAAAUAAAAAGAAAGACCUUUCUUUUGAAAAAACAAACGCCUCCGUGUACGGCCCGCCCAUAGCUCCUUCGACGGCGCCGCCUAGGAACGCGGAGAAAAUAUGACAAAGGAACGGCCAAAAAUAAAAAGAAAGACCUUUCUUUUGAAAAAACAAACAAAAAAAAGGAAUGCAACACGAGGACUUCCCAGGAGGUCACCCAUCCUAGUACUACUCUCGCCCAAGCACGCUUAACUUCGGAGUUCUGAUGGGAUCCGGUGCUUUAGUGCUGGUAUGAUCGCAUCCGACAUACCGUGCGUUCUCCUCCCCUUUAUGCCCGCGCCUCCGUGUACGGCCCGCCCAUAGCUCCUUCGACGGCGCCGCCUAGGAACGCGGAGAAAAUAUGACAAAGGAACGGCCAAAAAUAAAAAGAAAGACCUUUCUUUUGAAAAAACAAACAAAUAAAAGGAAUGCAACACGAGGAGUUCCCAGGAGGUCACCCAUCCUAGUACUACUCUCGCCCAAGCACGCUUAACUUCGGAGUUCUGAUGGGAUCCGGUGCUUUAGUGCUGGUAUGAUCGCAUCCGACAUACCGUGCGUUCUCCUCCCCUUUAUGCCCGCGCCUCCGUGUACGGCCCGCCCAUAGCUCCUUCGACGGCGCCGCCUAGGAACGCGGAGAAAAUAUGACAAAGGAACGGCCAAAAAUAAAAAGAAAGACCUUUCUUUUGAAAAAACAAACAAAAAAAAGAAAUGCAACACGAGGACUUCCCAGGAGGUCACCCAUCCUAGUACUACUCUCGCCCAAGCACGCUUAACUUCGGAGUUCUGAUGGGAUCCGGUGCUUUAGUGCUGGUAUGAUCGCAUCCGACAUACCGUGCGUUCUCCUCCCCUUUAUGCCCGCGCCUCCGUGUACGGCCCGCCCAUAGCUCCUUCGACGGCGCCGCCUAGGAACGCGGAGAAAAUAUGACAAAGGAACGGCCAAAAAUAAAAAGAAAGACCUUUCUUUGAAAAAACAAACAAUUCACAGGAAUGCAACACGAGGACUUCCCACGAGGUCACCCAUCCUAGUACUACUCUCGCCCAAGCACGCUUAACUUCGGAGUUCUGAUGGGAUCCGGUGCUUUAGUGCUGGUAUGAUCGCAUCCGACAUACCGUGCGUUCUCCUCCCCUUUAUGCCCGCGCCUCCGUGUACGGCCCGCCCAUAGCUCCUUCGACGGCGCCGCCUAGGAACGCGGAGAAAAUAUGACAAAGGAACGGCCAAAAAUAAAAAGAAAGACCUUUCUUUUGAAAAAACAAACCAAAAAAAAGGAAUGCAACACGAGGACUUCCCAAGAGGUCACCCAUCCUAGUACUACUCUCGCCCAAGCACGCUUAACUUCGGAGUUCUGAUGGGAUCCGGUGCUUUAGUGCUGGUAUGAUCGCAUCCGACAUACCGUGCGUUCUCCUCCCCAUUAUGCCCGCGCCUCCGUGUACGGCCCGCCCAUAGCUCCUUUGACGGCGCCGCUUAGGAACGCGGAGAAAAUAUGACAAAGGAACGGCCAAAAAUAAAAAGAAAGACCUUUCUUUUGAAAAAACAAACAAAUAAAAGGAAUGCAACACGAGGACUUCCCAGGAGGUCACCCAUCCUAGUACUACUCUCGCCCAAGCACGCUUAACUUCGGAGUUCUGAUGGGAUCCGGUGCUUUAGUGCUGGUAUGAUCGCAUCCGACAUACCGUGCGUUCUCCUCCCCUUUAUGCCCGCGCCUCCGUGUACGGCCCGCCCAUAGCUCCUUCGACGGCGCCGCCUAGGAACGCGGAGAAAAUAUGACAAAGGAACGGCCAAAAACAAAAAGAAAGACCUUUCUUUUGAAAAAACAAACAAAAAAAAGGAAUGCAACACGAGGACUUCCCAGGAGGUCACCCAUCCUAGUACUACUCUCGCCCAAGCACGCUUAACUUCGGAGUUCUGAUGGGAUCCGGUGCUUUAGUGCUGGUAUGAUCGCAUCCGACAUACCGUGCGUUCUCCUCCCCUUUAUGCCCGCGCCUCCGUGUACGGCCCGCCCAUAGCUCCUUCGACGGCGCCGCCUAGGAACGCGGAGAAAAUAUGACAAAGGAACGGCCAAAAAUAAAAAGAAAGACCUUUCUUUUGAAAAAACAAACAAAUAAAAGGAAUGCAACACGAGGACUUCCCAGGAGGUCACCCAUCCUAGUACUACUCUCGCCCAAGCACGCUUAACUUCGGAGUUCUGAUGGGAUCCGGUGCUUUAGUGCUGGUAUGAUCGCAUCCGACAUACCGUGCGUUCUCCUCCCCUUUAUGCCCGCGCCUCCGUGUACGGCCCGCCCAUAGCUCCUUCGACGGCGCCGCCUAGGAACGCGGAGAAAAUAUGACAAAGGAACGGCCAAAAAUAAAAAGAAAGACCUUUCUUUUGAAAAAACAAACAAAUAAAAGGAAUGCAACACGAGGACUUCCCAGGAGAUCACCCAUCCUAGUACUACUCUCGCCCAAGCACGCUUAACUUCGGAGUUCUGAUGGGAUCCGGUGCUUUAGUGCUGGUAUGAUCGCAUCCGACAUACCGUGCGUUCUCCUCCCCUUUAUGCCCGCGCCUCCGUGUACGGCCCGCCCAUAGCUCCUUCGACGGCGCCGCCUAGGAACGCGGAGAAAAUAUGACAAAGGAACGGCCAAAAAUAAAAAGAAAGACCUUUCUUUUGAAAAAACAAACAAAAAAAAGGAAUGCAACACGAGGACUUCCCACGAGGUCACCCAUCCUAGUACUACUCUAGUACCAAGCACGCUUAACUUCGGAGUUCUGAUGGGAUCCGGUGCUUUAGUGCUGGUAUGAUCGCAUCCGACAUACCGUGCGUUCUCCUCCCCUUUAUGCCCGCGCCUCCGUGUACGGCCCGCCCAUAGCUCCUUCGACGGCGCCGCCUAGGAACGCGGAGAAAAUAUGACAAAGGAACGGCCAAAAAUAAAAAGAAAGACCUUUCUUUUGAAAAAACAAACAAAAAAAAGGAAUGCAACACGAGGACUUCCCAGGAGGUCACCCAUCCUAGUACUACUCUCGCCCAAGCACGCUUAACUUCGGAGUUCUGAUGGGAUCCGGUGCUUUAGUGCUGGUAUGAUCGCAUCCGACAUACCGUGCGUUCUCCUCCCCUUUAUGCCCGCGCCUCCGUGUACGGCCCGCCCAUAGCUCCUUCGACGGCGCCGCCUAGGAACGCGGAGAAAAUAUGACAAAGGAACGGCCAAAAAUAAAAAGAAAGACCUUUCUUUUGAAAAAACAAACAAAUAAAAGGAAUGCAACACGAGGACUUCCCAGGAGGUCACCCAUCCUAGUACUACUCUCGCCCAAGCACGCUUAACUUCGGAGUUCUGAUGGGAUCCGGUGCUUUAGUGCUGGUAUGAUCGCAUCCGACAUACCGUGCGUUCUCCUCCCCUUUAUGCCCGCGCCUCCGUGUACGGCCCGCCCAUAGCUCCUUCGACGGCGCCGCCUAGGAACGCGGAGAAAAUAUGACAAAGGAACGGCCAAAAAUAAAAAGAAAGACCUUUCUUUUGAAAAAACAAACAAAAAAAAGGAAUGCAACACGAGGACUUCCCAGGAGGUCACCCAUCCUAGUACUACUCUCGCCCAAGCACGCUUAACUUCGGAGUUCUGAUGGGAUCCGGUGCUUUAGUGCUGGUAUGAUCGCAUCCGACAUACCGUGCGUUCUCCUCCCCUUUAUGCCCGCGCCUCCGUGUACGGCCCGCCCAUAGCUCCUUCGACGGCGCCGCCUAGGAACGCGGAGAAAAUAUGACAAAGGAACGGCCAAAAAUAAAAAGAAAGACCUUUCUUUUGAAAAAACAAACAAAAAAAAGGAAUGCAACACGAGGACUUCCCAGGAGGUCACCCAUCCUAGUACUACUCUCGCCCAAGCACGCUUAACUUCGGAGUUCUGAUGGGAUCCGGUGCUUUAGUGCUGGUAUGAUCGCAUCCGACAUACCGUGCGUUCUCCUCCCCUUUAUGCCCGCGCCUCCGUGUACGGCCCGCCCAUAGCUCCUUCGACGGCGCCGCCUAGGAACGCGGAGAAAAUAUGACAAAGGAACGGCCAAAAAUAAAAAGAAAGACCUUUCUUUUGAAAAAACAAACAAAUAAAAGGAAUGCAACACAAGGACUUCCCAGGAGGUCACCCAUCCUAGUACUACUCUCGCCCAAGCACGCUUAACUUCGGAGUUCUGAUGGGAUCCGGUGCUUUAGUGCUGGUAUGAUCGCAUCCGACAUACCGUGCGUUCUCCUCCCCUUUAUGCCCGCGCCUCCGUGUACGGCCCGCCCAUAGCUCCUUCGACGGCGCCGCCUAGGAACGCGGAGAAAAUAUGACAAAGGAACGGCCAAAAAUAAAAAGAAAGACCUUUCUUUUGAAAAAACAAACGCCUCCGUGUACGGCCCGCCCAUAGCUCCUUCGACGGCGCCGCCUAGGAACGCGGAGAAAAUAUGACAAAGGAACGGCCAAAAAUAAAAAGAAAGACCUUUCUUUUGAAAAAACAAACAAAAAAAAGGAAUGCAACACGAGGACUUCCCAGGAGGUCACCCAUCCUAGUACUACUCUCGCCCAAGCACGCUUAACUUCGGAGUUCUGAUGGGAUCCGGUGCUUUAGUGCUGGUAUGAUCGCAUCCGACAUACCGUGCGUUCUCCUCCCCUUUAUGCCCGCGCCUCCGUGUACGGCCCGCCCAUAGCUCCUUCGACGGCGCCGCCUAGGAACGCGGAGAAAAUAUGACAAAGGAACGGCCAAAAAUAAAAAGAAAGACCUUUCUUUUGAAAAAACAAACGCCUCCGUGUACGGCCCGCCCAUAGCUCCUUCGACGGCGCCGCCUAGGAACGCGGAGAAAAUAUGACAAAGGAACGGCCAAAAAUAAAAAGAAAGACCUUUCUUUUGAAAAAACAAACAAAAAAAAGGAAUGCAACACGAGGACUUCCCAGGAGGUCACCCAUCCUAGUACUACUCUCGCCCAAGCACGCUUAACUUCGGAGUUCUGAUGGGAUCCGGUGCUUUAGUGCUGGUAUGAUCGCAUCCGACAUACCGUGCGUUCUCCUCCCCUUUAUGCCCGCGCCUCCGUGUACGGCCCGCCCAUAGCUCCUUCGACGGCGCCGCCUAGGAACGCGGAGAAAAUAUGACAAAGGAACGGCCAAAAAUAAAAAGAAAGACCUUUCUUUUGAAAAAACAAACAAAUAAAAGGAAUGCAACACGAGGACUUCCCAGGAGGUCACCCAUCCUAGUACUACUCUCGCCCAAGCACGCUUAACUUCGGAGUUCUGAUGGGAUCCGGUGCUUUAGUGCUGGUAUGAUCGCAUCCGACAUACCGUGCGUUCUCCUCCCCUUUAUGCCCGCGCCUCCGUGUACGGCCCGCCCAUAGCUCCUUCGACGGCGCCGCCUAGGAACGCGGAGAAAAUAUGACAAAGGAACGGCCAAAAAUAAAAAGAAAGACCUUUCUUUUGAAAAAACAAACAAAAAAAAAGGAAUGCAACACGAGGACUUCCCAGGAGGUCACCCAUCCUAGUACUACUCUCGCCCAAGCACGCUUAACUUCGGAGUUCUGAUGGGAUCCGGUGCUUUAGUGCUGGUAUGAUCGCAUCCGACAUACCGUGCGUUCUCCUCCCCUUUAUGCCCGCGCCUCCGUGUACGGCCCGCCCAUAGCUCCUUCGACGGCGCCGCCUAGGAACGCGGAGAAAAUAUGACAAAGGAACGGCCAAAAAUAAAAAGAAAGACCUUUCUUUUGAAAAAACAAACAAAAAAAAGGAAUGCAACACGAGGACUUCCCAGGAGGUCACCCAUCCUAGUACUACUCUCGCCCAAGCACGCUUAACUUCGGAGUUCUGAUGGGAUCCGGUGCUUUAGUGCUGGUAUGAUCGCAUCCGACAUACCGUGCGUUCUCCUCCCCUUUAUGCCCGCGCCUCCGUGUACGGCCCGCCCAUAGCUCCUUCGACGGCGCCGCCUAGGAACGCGGAGAAAAUAUGACAAAGGAACGGCCAAAAAUAAAAAGAAAGACCUUUCUUUUGAAAAAACAAACAAAAAAAAGGAAUGCAACACGAGGACUUCCCAGGAGGUCACCCAUCCUAGUACUACUCUCGCCCAAGCACGCUUAACUUCGGAGUUCUGAUGGGAUCCGGUGCUCUAGUGCUGGUAUGAUCGCAUCCGACAUACCGUGCGUUCUCCUCCCCUUUAUGCCCGCGCCUCCGUGUACGGCCCGCCCAUAGCUCCUUCGACGGCGCCGCCUAGGAACGCGGAGAAAAUAUGACAAAGGAACGGCCAAAAAUAAAAAGAAAGACCUUUCUUUUGAAAAAACAAACAAAAAAAAAGGAAUGCAACACGAGGACUUCCCAGGAGGUCACCCAUCCUAGUACUACUCUCGCCCAAGCACGCUUAACUUCGGAGUUCUGAUGGGAUCCGGUGCUUUAGUGCUGGUAUGAUCGCAUCCGACAUACCGUGCGUUCUCCUCCCCUUUAUGCCCGCGCCUCCGUGUACGGCCCGCCCAUAGCUCCUUCGACGGCGCCGCCUAGGAACGCGGAGAAAAUAUGACAAAGGAACGGCCAAAAAUAAAAAGAAAGACCUUUCUUUUGAAAAAACAAACAAAUAAAAGGAAUGCAACACGAGGACUUCCUAGGAGGUCACCCAUCCUAGUACUACUCUCGCCCAAGCACGCUUAACUUCGGAGUUCUAAUGGGAUCCGGUGCUUUAGUGCUGGUAUGAUCGCAUCCGACAUACCGUGCGUUCUCCUCCCCUUUAUGCCCGCGCCUCCGUGUACGGCCCGCCCAUAGCUCCUUCGACGGCGCCGCCUAGGAACGCGGAGAAAAUAUGACAAAGGAACGGCCAAAAAUAAAAAGAAAGACCUUUCUUUUGAAAAAACAAACAAAAAAAAGGAAUGCAACACGAGGACUUCCCAGGAGGUCACCCAUCCUAGUACUACUCUCGCCCAAGCACGCUUAACUUCGGAGUUCUGAUGGGAUCCGGUGCUUUAGUGCUGGUAUGAUCGCAUCCGACAUACCGUGCGUUCUCCUCCCCUUUAUGCCCGCGCCUCCGUGUACGGCCCGCCCAUAGCUCCUUCGACGGCGCCGCCUAGGAACGCGGAGAAAAUAUGACAAAGGAACGGCCAAAAAUAAAAAGAAAGACCUUUCUUUUGAAAAAACAAACAAAAAAAAGGAAUGCAACACGAGGACUUCCCAGGAGGUCACCCAUCCUAGUACUACUCUCGCCCAAGCACGCUUAACUUCGGAGUUCUGAUGGGAUCCGGUGCUUUAGUGCUGGUAUGAUCGCAUCCGACAUACCGUGCGUUCUCCUCCCCUUUAUGCCCGCGCCUCCGUGUACGGCCCGCCCAUAGCUCCUUCGACGGCGCCGCCUAGGAACGCGGAGAAAAUAUGACAAAGGAACGGCCAAAAAUAAAAAGAAAGACCUUUCUUUUGAAAAAACAAACAAAAAAAAGGAAUGCAACACGAGGACUUCCCAGGAGGUCACCCAUCCUAGUACUACUCUCGCCCAAGCACGCUUAACUUCGGAGUUCUGAUGGGAUCCGGUGCUUUAGUGCUGGUAUGAUCGAAUCCGACAUACCGUGCGUUCUCCUCCCCUUUAUGCCCGCGCCUCCGUGUACGGUCCGCCCAUAGCUCCUUCGACGGCGCCGCCUAGGAACGCGGAGAAAAUAUGACAAAGGAACGGCCAAAAAUAAAAAGAAAGACCUUUCUUUUGAAAAAACAAACAAAUAAAAGGAAUGCAACACGAGGACUUCCCAGGAGGUCACCCAUCCUAGUACUACUCUCGCCCAAGCACGCUUAACUUCGGAGUUCUGAUGGGAUCCGGUGCUUUAGUGCUGGUAUGAUCGCAUCCGACAUACCGUGCGUUCUCCUCCCCUUUAUGCCCGCGCCUCCGUGUACGGCCCGCCCAUAGCUCCUUCGACGGCGCCGCCUAGGAACGCGGAGAAAAUAUGACAAAGGAACGGCCAAAAAUAAAAAGAAAGACCUUUCUUUUGAAAAAACAAACAAAUAAAAGGAAUGCAACACGAGGACUUCCCAGGAGGUCACCCAUCCUAGUACUACUCUCGCCCAAGCACGCUUAACUUCGGAGUUCUGAUGGGAUCCGGUGCUUUAGUGCUGGUAUGAUCGCAUCCGACAUACCGUGCGUUCUCCUCCCCUUUAUGCCCGCGCCUCCGUGUACGGCCCGCCCAUAGCUCCUUCGACGGCGCCGCCUAGGAACGCGGAGAAAAUAUGACAAAGGAACGGCCAAAAAUAAAAAGAAAGACCUUUCUUUUGAAAAAACAAACAAAAAAAAGGAAUGCAGCACCAGGACUUCCCGGAAGGUCACCCAUCCAAAUACAACUCUCGCCGAACCACGUUUAACUUCGAAUUUCUAAUGGAAUCCGGGGCUUUAGAGCUGGAAUGAUCGCAUCCGACAUACCGUGCGUUCUCCUCCCCUUUAUGCCCGCGCCUCCGUGUACGGCCCGCCCAUAGCUCCUUCGACGGCGCCGCCUAGGAACGCGGAGAAAAUAUGACAAAGGAGCGGCCAAAAAUAAAAAGAAAGACCUUUCUUUUGAAAAAACAAACAAAUAAAAGGAAUGCAACACGAGGACUUCCUAGGAGGUCACCCAUCCUAGUACUACUCUCGCCCAAGCACGCUUAACUUCGGAGUUCUGAUGGGAUCCGGUGCUUUAGUGCUGGUAUGAUCGCAUCCGACAUACCGUGCGUUCUCCUCCCCUUUAUGCCCGCGCCUCCGUGUACGGCCCGCCCAUAGCUCCUUCGACGGCGCCGCCUAGGAACGCGGAGAAAAUAUGACAAAGGAACGGCCAAAAAUAAAAAGAAAGACCUUUCUUUUGAAAAAACAAACGCCUCCGUGUACGGCCCGCCCAUAGCUCCUUCGACGGCGCCGCCUAGGAACGCGGAGAAAAUAUGACAAAGGAACGGCCAAAAAUAAAAAGAAAGACCUUUCUUUUGAAAAAACAAACAAAAAAAAGGAAUGCAACACGAGGACUUCCCAGGAGGUCACCCAUCCUAGUACUACUCUCGCCCAAGCACGCUUAACUUCGGAGUUCUGAUGGGAUCCGGUGCUUUAGUGCUGGUAUGAUCGCAUCCGACAUACCGUGCGUUCUCCUCCCCUUUAUGCCCGCGCCUCCGUGUACGGCCCGCCCAUAGCUCCUUCGACGGCGCCGCCUAGGAACGCGGAGAAAAUAUGACAAAGGAACGGCCAAAAAUAAAAAGAAAGACCUUUCUUUUGAAAAAACAAACAAAUAAAAGGAAUGCAACACGAGGACUUCCCAGGAGGUCACCCAUCCUAGUACUACUCUCGCCCAAGCACGCUUAACUUCGGAGUUCUGAUGGGAUCCGGUGCUUUAGUGCUGGUAUGAUCGCAUUCGACAUACCGAUGCGUUCUCAUCCCCGUUAUGCGCCGCGCCUCUGUGUACGGCCCGCCCAUAGCUCCUUUGACUGCGCCUCGUAGGAUCGCGGAGAAUAUAUGACAAAGGCACGGCCAAACAUAAAACGAAAGACCUCUCUUUUGCAACAACAAACAAAAUAAAGGAAUGCAACACGAGGACUUCCCAGGAGGUCACCCAUCCUAGUACUAGUCUCGCUCAAGCACGCUGAUCUUCGGAGUUCUGAUGGGAUCCGGUGCUUUAGUGCUGGUAUGAUCGCAUCCGACAUACCGUGCGUUCUCCUCCCCUUUAUGCCCGCGCCUCCGUGUACGGCCCGCCCAUAGCUCCUUCGACGGCGCCGCCUAGGAACGCGGAGAAAAUAUGACAAAGGAACGGCCAAAAAUAAAAAGAAAGACCUUUCUUUUGAAAAAACAAACAAAAAAAAGGAAUGCAACACGAGGACUUCCCAGGAGGUCACCCAUCCUAGUACUACUCUCGCCCAAGCACGCUUAACUUCGGAGUUCUGAUGGGAUCCGGUGCUUUAGUGCUGGUAUGAUCGCAUCCGACAUACCGUGCGUUCUCCUCCCCUUUAUGCCCGCGCCUCCGUGUACGGCCCGCCCAUAGCUCCUUCGACGGCGCCGCCUAGGAACGCGGAGAAAAUAUGACAAAGGAACGGCCAAAAAUAAAAAGAAAGACCUUUCUUUUGAAAAAACAAACAAAUAAAAGGAAUGCAACACGAGGACUUCCCAGGAGGUCACCCAUCCUAGUACUACUCUCGCCCAAGCACGCUUAACUUCGGAGUUCUGAUGGGAUCCGGUGCUUUAGUGCUGGUAUGAUCGCAUCCGACAUACCGUGCGUUCUCCUCCCCUUUAUGCCCGCGCCUCCGUGUACGGCCCGCCCAUAGCUCCUUCGACGAGCCCGCCUAGGAACGCGGAGAAAAUAUGACAAAGGAACGGCCAAAAAUAAAAAGAAAGACCUUUCUUUUGAAAAAACAAACAAAUAAAAGGAAUGCAACACGAGGACUUCCCAGGAGGUCACCCAUCCUAGUACUACUCUCGCCCAAGCACGCUUAACUUCGGAGUUCUGAUGGGAUCCGGUGCUUUAGUGCUGGUAUGAUCGCAUCCGACAUACCGUGCGUUCUCCUCCCCUUUAUGCCCGCGCCUCCGUGUACGGCCCGCCCAUAGCUCCUUCGACGGCGCCGCCUAGGAACGCGGAGAAAAUAUGACAAAGGAACGGCCAAAAAUAAAAAGAAAGACCUUUCUUUUGAAAAAACAAACAAAAAAAAGGAAUGCAACACGAGGACUUCCCAGGAGGUCACCCAUCCUAGUACUACUCUCGCCCAAGCACGCUUAACUUCGGAGUUCUGAUGGGAUCCGGUGCUUUAGUGCUGGUAUGAUCGCAUCCGACAUACCGUGCGUUCUCCUCCCCUUUAUGCCCGCGCCUCCGUGUACGGCCCGCCCAUAGCUCCUUCGACGGCGCCGCCUAGGAACGCGGAGAAAAUAUGACAAAGGAACGGCCAAAAAUAAAAAGAAAGACCUUUCUUUUGAAAAAACAAACAAAUAAAAGGAAUGCAACACGAGGACUUCCCAGGAGGUCACCCAUCCUAGUACUACUCUCGCCCAAGCACGCUUAACUUCGGAGUUCUGAUGGGAUCCGGUGCUUUAGUGCUGGUAUGAUCGCAUCCGACAUACCGUGCGUUCUCCUCCCCUUUAUGCCCGCGCCUCCGUGUACGGCCCGCCCAUAGCUCCUUCGACGGCGCCGCCUAGGAACGCGGAGAAAAUAUGACAAAGGAACGGCCAAAAAUAAAAAGAAAGACCUUUCUUUUGAAAAAACAAACAAAUAAAAGGAAUGCAACACGAGGACUUCCCAGGAGGUCACCCAUCCUAGUACUACUCUCGCCCAAGCACGCUUAACUUCGGAGUUCUGAUGGGAUCCGGUGCUUUAGUGCUGGUAUGAUCGCAUCCGACAUACCGUGCGUUCUCCUCCCCUUUAUGCCCGCGCCUCCGUGUACGGUCCGCCCAUAGCUCUUUAGUUGGCGCCUCCUAGGAACGCGGAGAAAAUAUGACAAAGGAACGGCCAAAAAUAAAAAGAAAGACCUUUCUUUUGAAAAAACAAACGCCUCCGUGUACGGCCCGCCCAUAGCUCCUUCGACGGCGCCGCCUAGGAACGCGGAGAAAAUAUGACAAAGGAACGGCCAAAAAUAAAAAGAAAGACCUUUCUUUUGAAAAAACAAACAAAAAAAAGGAAUGCAACACGAGGACUUCCCAGGAGGUCACCCAUCCUAGUACUACUCUCGCCCAAGCACGCUUAACUUCGGAGUUCUGAUGGGAUCCGGUGCUUUAGUGCUGGUAUGAUCGCAUCCGACAUACCGUGCGUUCUCCUCCCCUUUAUGCCCGCGCCUCCGUGUACGGCCCGCCCAUAGCUCCUUCGACGGCGCCGCCUAGGAACGCGGAGAAAAUAUGACAAAGGAACGGCCAAAAAUAAAAAGAAAGACCUUUCUUUUGAAAAAACAAACAAAUAAAAGGAAUGCAACACGAGGAGUUCCCAGGAGGUCACCCAUCCUAGUACUACUCUCGCCCAAGCACGCUUAACUUCGGAGUUCUGAUGGGAUCCGGUGCUUUAGUGCUGGUAUGAUCGCAUCCGACAUACCGUGCGUUCUCCUCCCCUUUAUGCCCGCGCCUCCGUGUACGGCCCGCCCAUAGCUCCUUCGAUGGCGCCGCCUAGGAACGCGGAGAAAAUAUGACAAAGGAACGGCCAAAAAUAAAAAGAAAGACCUUUCUUUUGAAAAAACAAACGCCUCCGUGUACGGCCCGCCCAUAGCUCCUUCGACGGCGCCGCCUAGGAACGCGGAGAAAAUAUGACAAAGGAACGGCCAAAAAUAAAAAGAAAGACCUUUCUUUUGAAAAAACAAACAAAAAAAAGGAAUGCAACACGAGGACUUCCCAGGAGGUCACCCAUCCUAGUACUACUCUCGCCCAAGCACGCUUAACUUCGGAGUUCGGAUGGGAUCCGGUGCUUUAGUGCUGGUAUGAUCGCAUCCGACAUACCGUGCGUUCUCCUCCCCUUUAUGCCCGCGCCUCCGUGUACGGCCCGCCCAUAGCUCCUUCGACGGCGCCGCCUAGGAACGCGGAGAAAAUAUGACAAAGGAACGGCCAAAAAUAAAAAGAAAGACCUUUCUUUUGAAAAAACAAACAAAUAAAAGGAAUGCAACACGAGGACUUCCCAGGAGGUCACCCAUCCUAGUACUACUCUCGCCCAAGCACGCUUAACUUCGGAGUUCUGAUGGGAUCCGGUGCUUUAGUGCUGGUAUGAUCGCAUCCGACAUACCGUGCGUUCUCCUCCCCUUUAUGCCCGCGCCUCCGUGUACGGCCCGCCCAUAGCUCCUUCGACGGCGCCGCCUAGGAACGCGGAGAAAAUAUGACAAAGGAACGGCCAAAAAUAAAAAGAAAGACCUUUCUUUUGAAAAAACAAACAAAAAAAAGGAAUGCAACACGAGGACUUCCCAGGAGGUCACCCAUCCUAGUACUACUCUCGCCCAAGCACGCUUAACUUCGCAGUUCUGAUGGGAUCCGGUGCUUUAGUGCUGGUAUGAUCGCAUCCGACAUACCGUGCGUUCUCCUCCCCUUUAUGCCCGCGCCUCCGUGUACGGCCCGCCCAUAGCUCCUUCGACGGCGCCGCCUAGGAACGCGGAGAAAAUAUGACAAAGGAACGGCCAAAAAUAAAAAGAAAGACCUUUCUUUUGAAAAAACAAACGGCUCCGUGUACGGCCCGCCCAUAGCUCCUUCGACGGCGCCGCCUAGGAACGCGGAGAAAAUAUGACAAAGGAACGGCCAAAAAUAAAAAGAAAGACCUUUCUUUUGAAAAAACAAACAAAAAAAAGGAAUGCAACACGAGGACUUCCCAGGAGGUCACCCAUCCUAGUACUACUCUCGCCCAAGCACGCUUAACUUCGGAGUUCUGAUGGGAUCCGGUGCUUUAGUGCUGGUAUGAUCGCAUCCGACAUACCGUGCGUUCUCCUCCCCUUUAUGCCCGCGCCUCCGUGUACGGCCCGCCCAUAGCUCCUUCGACGGCGCCGCCUAGGAACGCGGAGAAAAUAUGACAAAGGAACGGCCAAAAAUAAAAAGAAAGACCUUUCUUUUGAAAAAACAAACAAAUAAAAGGAAUGCAACACGAGGACUUCCCAGGAGGUCACCCAUCCUAGUACUACUCUCGCCCAAGCACGCUUAACUUCGGAGUUCUGAUGGGAUCCGGUGCUUUAGUGCUGGUAUGAUCGCAUCCGACAUACCGUGUGUCGACGAAAGCUGGUCGGCAGUCUACCUUGGGGUAUACCCACGGUAGUAGUUUAUCGGUAGACGGUGCGCAAACUACGAACUCGAUGGUGACGCAAGACACGGACAAGCUUUUUAUCCAGGUUCGGCCGCCGAGUUGGCGUAAUACCUACGUCCUGCGUCUGGUUGUAUUGGAUUGUGUUUAGAGAUAAUCUACCCUAGGGGGUCCCCUUGCCCCUCCUUAUAUAGUCUGGAGGGCAGGGUUACAGAUCUAGAAACUAAUCCUAGCCGGUUACAAUUGCCAUAGAUAAUUCGAUAUCAAUUCCUAUUCUAACCGACUAGAAUCCUGCUUGAUCUCCACGUCCUGUUUCCUUGCGCGAAACUCGGGCUAUCGGAUCAAGCCUUGAACUCGUCUCGUAGUGGGCCAAGCUUCCUAGCUGAAGUCUAGCCGUAAGGGUAUAGGGGUUUAUACCCCCACAGCUAGUCCCCGAGCGCCAUGUAUUGUGACGCAACACUCCGUCUUGAGCUUCUUCGAUCAGCGUGGUCUGUCGUCUUCAAUGAGCGGGGAAAUCGCCCAAACGGUUCAUUGAUCAACGUUGUCAUCGAAGAAGCAGGUUGUUCGAAGAAUGCAUGGUGCUCUAAAAAAAAUUUCUUUCCUGGUGAAGUGUGCCCACUUUGCCUUUCUGAAAGGUAGAAGCAACAAAAAAGCAAGCAAAUUCACCGCUAGGUGAAGUGUGCCCACUUAGUCCCCGAGCCUGGUAGUAGGUGUCGUAGGCACGUGGUGCCAGGGUCAAAAGAAAAUUCCCCAAAGUAGUUUUGGGACUGAGAUGCAUCGUACCGAUGUAGUCCCCGAGCUUGCUGGAAGGCGAAGUAUGAGCCUUGUAGCAAGGUCUAAAAAAUUGAAUUUACCAGUCCCCGAGCAUGUCAUGCUCGUCUGCAAUCGAAAAGACCAAUCGACCAGUCCCCAGGCACUUAGUGUGCUGCCUGGAAUUACAUGUUACUAUACUGUACGACCAGUCCCCGAGCAUCGAGUGCUCAGUGGUCGGUGCAUGCUUUAAAGCUUUGAGCUGAUAGACUGAGCGACCAGUCCCCGAGCGUCGAGUGCUCGGUGGUCGGUGAAGUCUUUGAAGUUCCGAGCUGAUAAACUGGGCGACCAGUCCCCGAGCGUCGAGUGCUCGGUGGUCGGUGCAGUCUUUGAAGUUCCGAGCUAAUAAACUGGGCGACCAGUCCCCGAGCGUCGAGUGCUCGGUGGUCGGUGCAGUCUUUGAAGUUCCGAGCUAAUAAACUGGGCGACCAGUCCCCGAGCGUCGAGUGCUCGGUGGUCGGUGCAGUCCCCGGAUUGCUGACUCACUGGCGUAUGUGUCUUCUUACUUUUGAAAAGGUCUUUCAAAUUUAAAGUUGACGUGACGGGGUCUCCUGACGAUAUGUCAGACGGAUGCAUGAAAAGCUGUGCCUGGCAACUGUACAACCGCUCUUUGCNNNNNNNNNNNNNNNNNNNNNNNNNNNNNNNNNNNNNNNNNNNNNNNNNNNNNNNNNNNNNNNNNNNNNNNNNNNNNNNNNNNNNNNNNNNNNNNNNNNNCGUUCUCCUCCCCUUUAUGCCCGCGCCUCCGUGUCCGUAAAGGGCAUAGCUCCUUCGACGGCGCCGCCGUAGGAACGCUGAGAAGAUAUGACAAAGGAACGGCCAAAAAUAAAAAGAAAGACCUUUCUUUUGAAAAAACAAACAAAAAAAAGGAAUGCAACACGAGGACUUCCCAGGAGGUCACCCAUCCUAGUACUACUCUCGCCCAAGCACGCUUAACUUCGGAGUUCUGAUGGGAUCCGGUGCUUUAGUGCUGGUAUGAUCGCAUCCGACAUACCGUGCGUUCUCCUCCCCUUUAUGCCCGCGCCUCCGUGUACGGCCGGCCCAUAGCUCCUUCGACGGCGCCGCCUAGGAACGCGGAGAAAAUAUGACAAAGGAAUUUUUUUAAAUAAAAAGAAAGACCUUUCUUUUGAAAAAACAAACGAAAAAAAGGAAUGCAACACGAGGACUUCCCAGGAGGUCACCCAUCCUAGUACUACUCUCGCCCAAGCACGCUUAACUUCGGAGUUCUGAUGGGAUCCGGUGCUUUAGUGCUGGUAUGAUCGCAUCCGACAUACCGUGCGUUCUCCUCCCCUUUAUGCCCGCGCCUCCGUGUACGGCCCGCCCAUAGCUCCUUCGACGGCGCCGCCUAAGAACGCGGAAAAAAUAUGACAAAGGAACGGCCAAAAAUAAAAAAAAAAAACCUUUCUUUUGAAAAAANNNNNNNNNNNNNNNNNNNNNNNNNNNNNNNNNNNNNNNNNNNNNNNNNNNNNNNNNNNNNNNNNNNNNNNNNNNNNNNNNNNNNNNNNNNNNNNNNNNNAAAAGGAAUGCAACACGAGGACUUCCCAGGAGGUCACCCAUCCUAGUACUACUCUCGCCCAAGCACGCUUAACUUCGGAGUUCUGAUGGGAUCCGGUGCUUUAGUGCUGGUAUGAUCGCAUCCGACAUACCGUGCGUUCUCCUCCCCUUUAUGCCCGCGCCUCCGUGUUACGGCCCGCCCAUAGCUCCUUCGACGGCGCCGCCUAGGAACGCGGAGAAAAUAUGACAAAGGAACGGCCAAAAAUCAAAAGAAAGACCUUUCUUUUGAAAAAACACACGCCUCCGUGUACGGCCCGCCCAUAGCUCCUUCGACGGCGCCGCCUAGGAACGCGGAGAAAAUAUGACAAAGGAACGGCCAAAAAUAAAAAGAAAGACCUUUCUUUUGAAAAAACAAACAAAUAAAAGGAAUGCAACACGAGGACUUCCCAGGAGGUCACCCAUCCUAGUACUACUCUCGCCCAAGCACGCUUAACUUCGGAGUUCUGAUGGGAUCCGGUGCUUUAGUGCUGGUAUGAUCGCAUCCGACAUACCGUGCGUUCUCCUCCCCUUUAUGCCCGCGCCUCCGUGUACGGCCCGCCCAUAGCUCCUUCGACGGCGCCGCCUAGGAACGCGGAGAAAAUAUGACAAAGGAACGGCCAAAAAUAAAAAGAAAGACCUUUCUUUUGAAAAAACAAACAAAUAAAAGGAAUGCAACACGAGGACUUCCCAGGAGGUCACCCAUCCUAGUACUACUCUCGCCCAAGCACGCUUAACUUCGGAGUUCUGAUGGGAUCCGGUGCUUUAGUGCUGGUAUGAUCGCAUCCGACAUACCGUGCGUUCUCCUCCCCUUUAUGCCCGCGCCUCCGUGUACGGCCCGCCCAUAGCUCCUUCGACGGCGCCGCCUAGGAACGCGGAGAAAAUAUGACAAAGGAACGGCCAAAAAUAAAAAGAAAGACCUUUCUUUUGAAAAAACAAACGCCUCCGUGUACGGCCCGCCCAUAGCUCCUUCGACGGCGCCGCCUAGGAACGCGGAGAAAAUAUGACAAAGGAACGGCCAAAAAUAAAAAGAAAGACCUUUCUUUUGAAAAAACAAACAAAAAAAAGGAAUGCAACACGAGGACUUCCCAGGAGGUCACCCAUCCUAGUACUACUCUCGCCCAAGCACGCUUAACUUCGGAGUUCUGAUGGGAUCCGGUGCUUUAGUGCUGGUAUGAUCGCAUCCGACAUACCGUGCGUUCUCCUCCCCUUUAUGCCCGCGCCUCCGUGUACGGCCCGCCCAUAGCUCCUUCGACGGCGCCGCCUAGGAACGCGGAGAAAAUAUGACAAAGGAACGGCCAAAAAUAAAAAGAAAGACCUUUCUUUUGAAAAAACAAACAAAUAAAAGGAAUGCAACACGAGGACUUCCCAGGAGGUCACCCAUCCUAGUACUACUCUCGCCCAAGCACGCUUAACUUCGGAGUUCUGAUGGGAUCCGGUGCUUUAGUGCUGGUAUGAUCGCAUCCGACAUACCGUGCGUUCUCCUCCCCUUUAUGCCCGCGCCUCCGUGUACGGCCCGCCCAUAGCUCCUUCGACGGCGCCGCCUAGGAACGCGGAGAAAAUAUGACAAAGGAACGGCCAAAAAUAAAAAGAAAGACCUUUCUUUUGAAAAAACAAACGCCUCCGUGUACGGCCCGCCCAUAGCUCCUUCGACGGCGCCGCCUAGGAACGCGGAGAAAAUAUGACAAAGGAACGGCCAAAAAUAAAAAGAAAGACCUUUCUUUUGAAAAAACAAACAAAAAAAAGGAAUGCAACACGAGGACUUCCCAGGAGGUCACCCAUCCUAGUACUACUCUCGCCCAAGCACGCUUAACUUCGGAGUUCUGAUGGGAUCCGGUGCUUUAGUGCUGGUAUGAUCGCAUCCGACAUACCGUGCGUUCUCCUCCCCUUUAUGCCCGCGCCUCCGUGUACGGCCCGCCCAUAGCUCCUUCGACGGCGCCGCCUAGGAACGCGGAGAAAAUAUGACAAAGGAACGGCCAAAAAUAAAAAGAAAGACCUUUCUUUUGAAAAAACAAACAAAUAAAAGGAAUGCAACACGAGGACUUCCCAGGAGGUCACCCAUCCUAGUACUACUCUCGCCCAAGCACGCUUAACUUCGGAGUUCUGAUGGGAUCCGGUGCUUUAGUGCUGGUAUGAUCGCAUCCGACAUACCGUGCGUUCUCCUCCCCUUUAUGCCCGCGCCUCCGUGUACGGCCCGCCCAUAGCUCCUUCGACGGCGCCGCCUAGGAACGCGGAGAAAAUAUGACAAAGGAACGGCCAAAAAUAAAAAGAAAGACCUUUCUUUUGAAAAAACAAACAAAAAAAAGGAAUGCAACACGAGGACUUCCCAGGAGGUCACCCAUCCUAGUACUACUCUCGCCCAAGCACGCUUAACUUCGGAGUUCUGAUGGGAUCCGGUGCUUUAGUGCUGGUAUGAUCGCAUCCGACAUACCGUGCGUUCUCCUCCCCUUUAUGCCCGCGCCUCCGGGUACGGUCCUCCCAUAGCUCCGUCAACGGCCCGCCUAGGAACGCGGAGAAAAUAUGACAAAGGAACGGCCAAAAAUAAAAAGAAAGCCCUUUCUUUUGAAAAGACAACCGAAUAAAAGGAAUGCCACGCGAGGACUUCCCAGGAGGUCACCCAUCAUAGUACUACUCUCGCCCAAGCACGCUUAACUUCGGAGUUCUGAUGGGAUCCGGUGCUUUAGUGCUGGUAUGAUCGCAUCCGACAUACCGCGCGUUCUCCUCCCCUUAAGGCCCGCGCCUCCGUGUACGGCCCGCCCAUAGCUCCUUAGACGGCACCUCCUAGGAACGCGGAGAAAAUAUGACAAAGGAACGGCCAAAAAUAAAAAGAAAGACCUUUCUUUUGAAAAAACAAACGCCUCCGUGUACGGCCCGCCCAUAGCUCCUUCGACGGCGCCGCCUAGGAACGCGGAGAAAAUAUGACAAAGGAACGGCCAAAAAUAAAAAGAAAGACCUUUCUUUUGAAAAAACAAACAAAAAAAAGGAAUGCAACACGAGGACUUCCCAGGAGGUCACCCAUCCUAGUACUACUCUCGCCCAAGCACGCUUAACUUCGGAGUUCUGAUGGGAUCCGGUGCUUUAGUGCUGGUAUGAUCGCAUCCGACAUACCGUGCGUUCUCCUCCCCUUUAUGCCCGCGCCUCCGUGUACGGCCCGCCCAUAGCUCCUUCGACGGCGCCGCCUAGGAACGCGGAGAAAAUAUGACAAAGGAACGGCCAAAAAUAAAAAGAAAGACCUUUCUUUUGAAAAAACAAACGCCUCCGCGUACGGCCCGCCCAUAGCUCCUUCGACGGCGCCGCCUAGGAACGCGGAGAAAAUAUGACAAAGGAACGGCCAAAAAUAAAAAGAAAGACCUUUCUUUUGAAAAAACAAACAAAAAAAAGGAAUGCAACACGAGGACUUCCCAGGAGGUCACCCAUCCUAGUACUACUCUCGCCCAAGCACGCUUAACUUCGGAGUUCUGAUGGGAUCCGGUGCUUUAGUGCUGGUAUGAUCGCAUCCGACAUACCGUGCGUUCUCCUCCCCUUUAUGCCCGCGCCUCCGUGUACGGCCCGCCCAUAGCUCCUUCGACGGCGCCGCCUAGGAACGCGGAGAAAAUAUGACAAAGGAACGGCCAAAAAUAAAAAGAAAGACCUUUCUUUUGAAAAAACAAACAAAUAAAAGGAAUGCAACACGAGGACUUCCCAGGAGGUCACCCAUCCUAGUACUACUCUCGCCCAAGCACGCUUAACUUCGGAGUUCUGAUGGGAUCCGGUGCUUUAGUGCUGGUAUGAUCGCAUCCGACAUACCGUGCGUUCUCCUCCCCUUUAUGCCCGCGCCUCCGUGUACGGCCCGCCCAUAGCUCCUUCGACGGCGCCGCCUAGGAACGCGGAGAAAAUAUGACAAAGGAACGGCCAAAAAUAAAAAGAAAGACCUUUCUUUUGAAAAAACAAACAAAUAAAAGGAAUGCAACACGAGGACUUCCCAGGAGGUCACCCAUCCUAGUACUACUCUCGCCCAAGCACGCUUAACUUCGGAGUUCUGAUGGGAUCCGGUGCUUUAGUGCUGGUAUGAUCGCAUCCGACAUACCGUGCGUUCUCCUCCCCUUUAUGCCCGCGCCUCCGUGUACGGCCCGCCCAUAGCUCCUUCGACGGCGCCGCCUAGGAACGCGGAGAAAAUAUGACAAAGGAACGGCCAAAAAUAAAAAGAAAGACCUUUCUUUUGAAAAAACAAACGCCUCCGUGUACGGCCCGCCCAUAGCUCCUUCGACGGCGCCGCCUAGGAACGCGGAGAAAAUAUGACAAAGGAACGGCCAAAAAUAAAAAGAAAGACCUUUCUUUUGAAAAAACAAACAAAAAAAAGGAAUGCAACACGAGGACUUCCCAGGAGGUCACCCAUCCUAGUACUACUCUCGCCCAAGCACGCUUAACUUCGGAGUUCUGAUGGGAUCCGGUGCUUUAGUGCUGGUAUGAUCGCAUCCGACAUACCGUGCGUUCUCCUCCCCUUUAUGCCCGCGCCUCCGUGUACGGCCCGCCCAUAGCUCCUUCGACGGCGCCGCCUAGGAACGCGGAGAAAAUAUGACAAAGGAACGGCCAAAAAUAAAAAGAAAGACCUUUCUUUUGAAAAAACAAACAAAUAAAAGGAAUGCAACACGAGGACUUCCCAGGAGGUCACCCAUCCUAGUACUACUCUCGCCCAAGCACGCUUAACUUCGGAGUUCUGAUGGGAUCCGGUGCUUUAGUGCUGGUAUGAUCGCAUCCGACAUACCGUGCGUUCUCCUCCCCUUUAUACCCGCGCCUCCGUGUACGGCCCGCCCAUAGCUCCUUCGACGGCGCCGCCUAGGAACGCGGAGAAAAUAUGACAAAGGAACGGCCAAAAAUAAAAAGAAAGACCUUUCUUUUGAAAAAACAAACAAAUAAAAGGAAUGCAACACGAGGACUUCCCAGGAGGUCACCCAUCCUAGUACUACUCUCGCCCAAGCACGCUUAACUUCGGAGUUCUGAUGGGAUCCGGUGCUUUAGUGCUGGUAUGAUCGCAUCCGACAUACCGUGCGUUCUCCUCCCCUUUAUGCCCGCGCCUCCGUGUACGGCCCGCCCAUAGCUCCUUCGACGGCGCCGCCUAGGAACGCGGAGAAAAUAUGACAAAGGAACGGCCAAAAAUAAAAAGAAAGACCUUUCUUUUGAAAAAACAAACGCCUCCGUGUACGGCCCGCCCAUAGCUCCUUCGACGGCGCCGCCUAGGAACGCGGAGAAAAUAUGACAAAGGAACGGCCAAAAAUAAAAAGAAAGACCUUUCUUUUGAAAAAACAAACAAAAAAAAGGAAUGCAACACGAGGACUUCCCAGGAGGUCACCCAUCCUAGUACUACUCUCGCCCAAGCACGCUUAACUUCGGAGUUCUGAUGGGAUCCGGUGCUUUAGUGCUGGUAUGAUCGCAUCCGACAUACCGUGCGUUCUCCUCCCCUUUAUACCCGCGCCUCCGUGUACGGCCCGCCCAUAGCUCCUUCGACGGCGCCGCCUAGGAACGCGGAGAAAAUAUGACAAAGGAACGGCCAAAAAUAAAAAGAAAGACCUUUCUUUUGAAAAAACAAGCAAAAAAAAGGAAUGCAACACGAGGACUUCCCAGGAGGUCACCCAUCCUAGUACUACUCUCGCCCAAGCACGCUUAACUUCGGAGUUCUGAUGGGAUCCGGUGCUUUAGUGCUGGUAUGAUCGCAUCCGACAUACCGUGCGUUCUCCUCCCCUUUAUGCCCGCGCCUCCGUGUACGGCCCGCCCAUAGCUCCUUCGACAGCGCCGCCUAGGAACGCGGAGAAAAUAUGACAAAGGAACGGCAAAAAAUAAAAAGAAAGACCUUUCUUUUGAAAAAACAAACAAAAAAAAGGAAUGCAACACGCGGACUUCCCAGGAGGUCACCCAUCCUAGUACUACUCUCGCCUAAGCACGCUUAACUUCGGAGUNNNNNNNNNNNNNNNNNNNNNNNNNNNNNNNNNNNNNNNNNNNNNNNNNNNNNNNNNNNNNNNNNNNNNNNNNNNNNNNNNNNNNNNNNNNNNNNNNNNNNNNNNNNNNNNNNNNNNNNNNNNNNNNNNNNNNNNNNNNNNNNNNNNNNNNNNNNNNNNNNNNNNNNNNNNNNNNNNNNNNNNNNNNNNNNNNNNNNNNNNNNNNNNNNNNNNNNNNNNNNNNNNNNNNNNNNNNNNNNNNNNNNNNNNNNNNNNNNNNNNNNNNNNNNNNNNNNNNNNNNNNNNNNNNNNNNNNNNNNNNNNNNNNNNNNNNNNNNNNNNNNNNNNNNNNNNNNNNNNNNNNNNNNNNNNNNNNNNNNNNNNNNNNNNNNNNNNNNNNNNNNNNNNNNNNNNNNNNNNNNNNNNNNNNNNNNNNNNNNNNNNNNNNNNNNNNNNNNNNNNNNNNNNNNNNNNNNNNNNNNNNNNNNNNNNNNNNNNNNNNNNNNNNNNNNNNNNNNNNNNNNNNNNNNNNNNNNNNNNNNNNNNNNNNNNNNNNNNNNNNNNNNNNNNNNNNNNNNNNNNNNNNNNNNNNNNNNNNNNNNNNNNNNNNNNNNNNNNNNNNNNNNNNNNNNNNNNNNNNNNNNNNNNNNNNNNNNNNNNNNNNNNNNNNNNNNNNNNNNNNNNNNNNNNNNNNNNNNNNNNNNNNNNNNNNNNNNNNNNNNNNNNNNNNNNNNNNNNNNNNNNNNNNNNNNNNNNNNNNNNNNNNNNNNNNNNNNNNNNNNNNNNNNNNNNNNNNNNNNNNNNNNNNNNNNNNNNNNNNNNNNNNNNNNNNNNNNNNNNNNNNNNNNNNNNNNNNNNNNNNNNNNNNNNNNNNNNNNNNNNNNNNNNNNNNNNNNNNNNNNNNNNNNNNNNNNNNNNNNNNNNNNNNNNNNNNNNNNNNNNNNNNNNNNNNNNNNNNNNNNNNNNNNNNNNNNNNNNNNNNNNNNNNNNNNNNNNNNNNNNNNNNNNNNNNNNNNNNNNNNNNNNNNNNNNNNNNNNNNNNNNNNNNNNNNNNNNNNNNNNNNNNNNNNNNNNNNNNNNNNNNNNNNNNNNNNNNNNNNNNNNNNNNNNNNNNNNNNNNNNNNNNNNNNNNNNNNNNNNNNNNNNNNNNNNNNNNNNNNNNNNNNNNNNNNNNNNNNNNNNNNNNNNNNNNNNNNNNNNNNNNNNNNNNNNNNNNNNNNNNNNNNNNNNNNNNNNNNNNNNNNNNNNNNNNNNNNNNNNNNNNNNNNNNNNNNNNNNNNNNNNNNNNNNNNNNNNNNNNNNNNNNNNNNNNNNNNNNNNNNNNNNNNNNNNNNNNNNNNNNNNNNNNNNNNNNNNNNNNNNNNNNNNNNNNNNNNNNNNNNNNNNNNNNNNNNNNNNNNCCUUCAUCCAUCUGUGCGAGGCCUAUGUUGGCAUAGAGCCGCACUUUGAUCUUUUCCGGUAUCUUUUCUGUCUGAGGAAGAAGGGAGCAGUUGGAGGCUCCAAGGUUGCAGGUGGAGUAUACCUCAACCUCCGUGAUGGGAUGAAGAAUCGCUACCUGCACUGCCCAUGGAACACCUCCUUGACCGAAUGGUACAGGAAGUGGUUCUACGUCAGGGAGGAACCGGGCAGCUCCACGUUCUGCGACGUGGGGUACGUUCCCGAGAAGAGGGCGAGCUGGACUGACCGCCCAGAGUUCGACGGUCAAGUGGCGGUUCUGAUGAAGCUGAUCGACUGGUCGCGCCUGGAUGGGCUCAGCGUGGUCGGCAACUUCAUUUGCCGCCGGGUGAUGCCCUGCCAGAAGAGGGUGCACUCGGCGUAUGAAUAUGCCGGAAGCACAGACCCGACCAGGAUGCGGUCGGAGAUCCUGGAGAAGGCGGAGGUACAACAGCUGCUGAACGAGCUGUUUAACUUCGCGGAUGGGGGCUUCACCCGUAGCAGUGAUCGGGUGCAAGCCUUCAAGUUAGGACGACCAGCACCAAAGGUAUGUAGCAGACUUCGUUUGAUCAUUCGUAUGUCGCCUGUAGUUGGCUCAUCUCUGUUACCUUUGCAGGUCGGUGAUGUCGACCGGUGCGUAGUGUACGUAUCACUGGCACCGGGGAUGGAAGAUCCUGUGGGAGAGGUCCCACCGGAGGAAGGCAGAGCCCGCCCCGUCCCGACCUCCGAGGAGAGGGUGGCGGGGAAAAGGCCAUUGCCGGUGGAUCCCCUGCCGACGCCGGAGCUGCCGGCAGACCUACCGGCGGAGAGCAGCCAAGCGCCGAAGCGUCGUCGGCUCGUGCGGAUCGUCGACGACGACGACGACGACGAGGAGGCUGCGCCGUCGUUGGUCCGACGGCCUCGGGGCCGCCCAGACGCUGCACCAGUCGCCACUGAUCGAGUGGCCAACGGCGCGGCUGCCCCGCAAGUUGCCGAGGUGGGGGCACAGGCGCCGACCGGCCGGGCGAGGAGGAGGUUCACCGCGACCCAUCGCCGGUCAGACCUGUAAGUGUUCAACUUACGUAUUUUGGACUCCCCCUUUUUUUUUUUUUUAAACUUUUGUUCCUGUAGUGCGGCAUCGGAUGUCGACCCUGGCCAAACUGCCGGCCAGGGAACGGGCGAGCCUGCCCGCGGUUCUCGGGAUGCGGCCCCCCAGACCACAGAACAGCCGACUGCUGCAGUCGCGCCUGGGAGCACCGAGGAGCUCCCGAGCGCGGCGCCGACUACAACAAGCAGCCCGACCAGGGCUGGGGAGGCUCCCCCAACUGACUCUUCGGAGAAGGGAAAGUCUCCGACCGCUCCUCCUGCCGGGGGGAGUGAAGUCCCCCCGCCGCCCCGAGCAGAAGCCUCUCCGGCUGCGGGCUCCCCAGGUCUGGUCCAAGGGACGUUGACGCCUGGGACCACCACCGGGGGUGACGCAGCCCAGGAGGAGGAAACCAGGGCGGCCUCCGACGACGAGGUAGAAGAGAUCGAGGGUCGUCCCCGUGAUGGCCGCCAACACGUGUAUGUGUGGCGCCAACGCGGGGAUCACUUUAUCGGUCAUGAGGAGCUUGCCGAGUCCGAAGAGGCCGCCAGGGUGGAGCGCGCGGCCAAGCGCCUUGUCGACGAAGUCAAGGUAAGCGUCGUUUUGAGCUGCCGCGCAUUCUUUUGCCUUGUCUUCUGCGCAUUGUUAUAUGCUUGCUUUGUAGGACGUUAUGAAAACGGCGAAGUACCGGAAACGGUGCUUUGACCAGAUAGAAGGCGUCAUGGCCGAGAACAAGGCCCUUGCCGCGGAGGUAGACCGGUUGCGGGCGGAGGUCGGAGAGAAGGUGGUCGAGAUGAGCACCGAGAAGGAGCGUCGUCUCGACCUCGCUCGUCGCCUGGCCGACCAGUACCGGCUGCAGGAAGGUUAGUCUCACGCUCCGAGCAGUUUCGCAGACUUGUAUAGUUUGCUUCGCUGACCAGUUUAGGAUUCACGCAGACUUGGAGGAGGAGGUGGCGAGCCUCCAACAAGAGAAGGAGCAGCUCGGCCAACAGCUCGCCAGUGCGCAGGAGUCCGGACGGCGAGCGGAAGAGGAAUUAAGUCGUAAAGACCGGGAGUUAGCUGGUAAUGGGUGCCGCCUUGUUGGUUGCUACCUGCCCCUUUGCUUGUUUGGUAUGCCGAAAGUAACGUUUCGUUUCGUUUGCAGUGCUCAAGGUGAACACCAAAAAGCACCUGGAUGAGCUGGUCAAGGACCGGGACUCCUGGAAGGUCAACUGUUGCAGGAUCUGGAAGGGAGUGUCCCCGGUCCUGGACCUGAUCAGUCCCGAGCUCCCGGAGAGCCAGCCCCGCGCGCCGCAGUUGACCCCGGUUCAAAAGGCGCAACGGGCGUGGGACUGGCUCCAGCAGUUUGUGAAGGACGCCGGGGAGUUUGCCGGCGCGCACGUCCUCAGCAUGGUACGCGCCCACUACCCCCUUGUCGACUUGAGCAGGCUGGAGAAGGGGUACCCGAAGGAAGUCGGCCCACAGGAAGCGGACGAACUUCGGGGUAGUCUGCUGGACUUGUCGUCGACAGUGAUCGGCGACAUCAACCUGUGCGGAACGGCCACUCCUCCAGACCAGCCGAGCUCAGAUAGGUCGGCCAGGGAGUUGUCGGGCGCGUCCUUUGCUGGAGAUGGGCGGUCGACGCCUGCGGUCUCGACCAGCCAGGCGCCGGUGGCCCCGACCCCUUCGUCCGGGCAGCAGGGCCAGGCGGGUGAUCAGCCCGAGCAGCUAGGCCAAUAAAGUAGUCUGUAGGAAUAGACUAGUAUCUGCCCGUCAGGGUAUUUAUUGUAAACUUUGUAUGUAAAGUUUGUAAUAAAGUUUUCUUUUUGUCAUGACUGUUGUUUUGAGCGCUGUAAAAAUAUCUGAGUGAUGUGUCAUCGUAUUUGUCUUGGUUGUCGCCAAGAGCAUCCAUUGCGGGAGUUUUGCCGAGUGCUGUGUAUGACAAGGUAUAGGCAAAAAAUAGAGAAUUAUAUUGUCACAAAUUAUAAGACACUUACAAAAGAAAGUCGCUAAAACUUUAUGGAUAGAAACGUCGCAGUUUGUCGAUGUGCCAAGAGUUAGGCACUCGUGUUCCGUCUGGGUAUGCCAAUCUGUAGGACGUAGGUCGUGUGACCUCGGUCACCACGAAGGGUCCUUCCCAGGGAGUAGAUAACUUGUGCAUUCCCUCCUGGCUUGUUUUCCAUCGAAGCACCAGAUCGCCGACCACGAAGGAACGGUCCUUGACGUUCCUGUUGUAGUAUCGCCUGACUGCCGUGAGAUAUUUUGCUGUUCGGAGACAUGAAACUAAACGCUUUUCCUCCAUGCAAUUGAUUUCGAGUUCUCUGGCGUUGUCGGCGGUCGACUGGUCGAAGUGCUCAAUUCUAGGGGAUCCGAAGUGUAUGUCGGACGGCAGAACCGCCUCUGCGCCGUACACCAUGAAAUAGGGAGACACCCCCGUGUUUCGACUGGUCUGAGUUCGAAGGCCCCAGACCACUGCCGGCAAUUCUUUCAUCCAUCGACCGGGUGCUCUGUCGUUCUCGGUGUACAAUCUUUUCUUUAGGGCGUCGACGAUCAUUCCAUUAGCACGUUCGACCUGACCGUUGGCACGUGGAUGUGCCACUGACACAUAUUUUAUGACUAUGCCUCUGUCAUCGCAGAAAUCCCAAAAGGUGGUGCCAGUAAACUGAGUGCCCAGGUCGGUGAUUAUGCUGUUCGGGAUGCCGAAUCUGUGUAUGAUUUGAUUGAGGAACUCCACAGCCUUCUCGGAAGUUGCCUUGACCAGGGGCAUGUAUUCAAUCCACUUGGAGAACUUGUCGAUUAACACGAAGACAAACUUGAAGUUGCCCGGGGCUGGUUUAAAUGGUCCGAUCAUGUCAAGCCCCCAGCAGGCAAAGGGCCAAGACGACGGGAUGGUUUGAAUUUCAUGGGCAGGUACGUGGGUCCUCUUAGCGAAAAACUGACAUCCUUCGCAACGCCGAACCAGUUUUUCUGCAUCGCUGACCGCGGUCGGCCAGUAAAAACCUGCUCGGAAAGCCUUUCCGACCAGCGUUCUAGAUGCGGCGUGGUUGCCGCAGGAUCCGGCGUGUAUGUCCUCCAAGAGCUUGAUACCAUCGUCUUGGGGUAUGCACUUGAGCAGUACCUCGGAGCUUGCGUUUUUCCGCAUGAGUUUUCCGUCGACCAGGAUGUAGUUCUUUGACCGUCGGAUGAGACGCUCGUUCUCUGUUUUGUCCUGAAAACCUGUCCCGUCUGAGAUGUAUUUGAUGAACGGGACACGCCAGUCGCGCCCGCCGGUUGUCGGAGUGGCGUCAUCUAUGAGCAUUGCCUCGUUGGGUUGCUUGUCGACCAGGGGGGAGCUUACGCUCGGCUCAUGGAUGUCCUGGACGAAAAUACCGCGCGGGAUUUGGGCCCGGGACGAGCCUAACUUUGACAACGCAUCUGCUGCUUGGUUCUUAUCCCGGACCACGUGGAUGUACUCUAUGCCAUAGAAGUUAGUUUCCCAUUUGCGAAUUUCUUUGCAGUAGAGAUCCAUCUUCUCGUGGGUUGCGUCCCACUCCUUGUUGAGCUGGUUGAUGACCAAAGCGGAGUCCCCGUAGACAUAGAGGCGCUUAACCCCCAGCUCAACGGCUAGUCGUACGCCAUGUAAGCAAGCUUCAUAUUCGGCGACAUUGUUUGACGCCGGGAAAAGGAUCCGAAGGACGUAGCGGAGUUUGUCCUUGUUUGGUGAUACGAACAAUAUCCCAGCGCCUGCACCGUUGAUGUUCAAGGACCCAUCAAAGAACAUUGACCAGUGGUCUGAGACAUCGGGAACGGACGGUUCGUUGAGAUCCGUCCAUUCGGCAAUGAAAUCGACCAGGGCUUGGGACUUGACAGUGGUGCGACUCUGAAACUCCAGGGAAAAUGGACAUAAUUCCAUUGCCCAUUUCACGAUUCUGCCAUUGGCGUCUUUAUUGCGCAGGAUGUCACCGAGGGGAAAGCUGGUUGUCACCAGGACUCGAUGGCCGUCGAAGUAGUGCUUCAGUUUUCUUGACGUUAUCAGGAUGGCGUAUAUAAGCUUCUGUAUUUGUGGGUACCUGGCCUUGGAUUCGUUUAAAACUUCGCUUAUGAAGUAAACGGGCCUCUGGACCUUGAAGACGUGACCUGGUUCAUCUCGCUCGACCACUAUUGCCGUGGAAACAACUCUGUCGGUUGCAGCAAUGUAAAGGAGCAGGUCUUCGUUGGGCUGAGGCGCUGUGAGAACAGGCGGUGAAGUGAGGAAGGUCUUAAGCUGAGUGAACGCAGCGUCGGCGUCUUCUAUCCAGGAGAAUUUUUCUGACGCUUUCAAUAGUUUGAAAAAGGGGAGGCCUUUUUCUCCCAGCCUUGAGAUGAAACGACUGAGAGCGGCCAUGCAUCCGGUUAGCUUCUGAAUAUCCUUGACGUUCUUCGGUGGUCGCAUGUCGAGUACGGCUUUGACUUUUGAAGGGUUUGGCCGUAUGCCGUCGCAACUGACGACGUUGCCGAGCAGUAGACCGGAAGGAACGCCGAAAAUGCAUUUCUUGGGGUUGAGCUUCCACUUGUACCUAUUGAGUGCCUUGAAGGUUCGGUCUAAGUUGUCGAUUAGGGUGCUCGCAUCCCUUGUUUUUACGACCACGUCGUCCACAUAGGCCUCGACGAGGUCGUCGCGAAUCUCGUCGUGGAGGCAUUGCUGGAUGGCCCUUUGAUAAGUGGCCCCGGCGUUUUUAAGUCCGAAAGACAUGGUAGUGUAACAGUAUGCGCCGAAAGGUGUGAUGAAGGAUGUUUUGAUCUGAUCUUCUUCUUUUAACGAGAUCUGGUGAUAACCAGAGUAGCAAUCUAGAAAGGAGAGGAGUUCGCAUCCGGCCGUUGAGUCGACCACCUCGUCGAUGCGAGGAAGACCAAAAGGAUCUUUAGGACAGUGUUUGUUGAGAUCGGUGUAAUCAACGCACAUUCUCCAUUCAUUAUUCUUUUUGCGUACAAGAACCGGAUUGGCGAGCCAAUCGGGAUGAUACACCUCUUUUAUGAAUCCGGCUGCUAGAAGCCGUGUUAUUUCUGUCCUAAUAGCCUCCUUUUUGUCACGAGCGAACCGUCGCAGUUUUUGCUUGAUUGGUCUUGCGGUCUUCGAGACGUUUAAGGAGUGCUCGAUCAGGUUCCGUGGGACGCCGGGCAUGUCUGCGGGUUUCCAUGCGAAAACGCUCACGUUGUCCCUUAGAAACCUGACGAGCGCGUCUUCCUAUUUUGGAUCCAGGUUAGCCCCGAUGAGGGCUGUCUUCUCGGGGUUGCCCUCGACCAGCUGCACUUCUUUGUACUCCUUGGAUUUCGAAUUCUUUCUGGCUGUCUCCUGCUCAGGUAAUCGGAGCUGGUCGGGGGGCAGCUGUGCGGCUUGGUUUGCUGUUUCCGCCAUGCGGAUUGAGAGGUCAAUUGCCUCGGUGAUCUUGAAACUUUCUUCUUCGCAGGUGUACGCAGUGUAGACGUUGCCUCUGACGGUCAGGACACCCUUCUCCGUGGGCAUCUUAAGCACUAGGUACGAGUAGUGCGGGACUGCCAUGAACUUUGUCAGCGAUGGGCGGCCCAGUAUGGCGUGGUAGGUCCCGUCGAAGUCCGCGACUACGAAGUUGAUGAACUCCGUCCGGAAGUGAUCGGGUGUGCCGAAUUGGACAGGCAAUGUUAUCUGUCCGAGGGGCACCGAACUUUGACCUGGCAAAACCCCCCAGAAUUGGGCGUCGUAAGGUUUUAGUUGGGCCGGUGAUAUCUUGAGGGCGGGCAGGCUGUUGCGGAAGAGGAUGUCAAUGGAGCUUCCCCCGUCCACGAGCACGCGCUCGAAUCUGAUGCUGUUGAUGCAAGGAUCGAGAAUUAGUGGGAAACGACCCGGCUCCGGGAUAGCGGCCCACUGGUCCUUCCUGCUGAACGCGAUCUCCCUAUGGGACCAGGCGGGAAAUUUCAGAUCUGCGAUCAGCCCGUCCGUGCUGUCUAUGUUGAGGCAGGCUCUCUUCAACAGCUUUCUUUCUCGCUUGGACUCAGUGGAGACCUUGCCCCCGAAAAUGGAGUGGACCACGUCGGUGGGGCUGACGUAUUGGUGUCGGGGGUCCCUGUCUUGGUCCUCGUCCUCAUCUUCGUGGUCGUGCCCGUCGCGUUUGUUACUUUUCUUGGCGGUGUCUUCUUGGGCGGCCCGCCGUGUAUAGAUAUUUUUGAGGACGCGGCACUCUUCCAUGGUAUGGUUAGACUUUGGAUGUAGCUGGCACGGUCCCUUCAACGUUUUGUUGUAGUCGUCUUGGUAGUCCCGUCGUCCAUUGGGACGUUUGACCGUGUUUACUUCGUGGUCGUAUUCGCGAGGGCGCUUUCCUCUGAAGUCGUCGCGGCUGUCGCGCCGCCGAUCCCAACCCUCUCGGUGAUCGCGGUUGUCGGAGCGACGGUGAUUUCUGUUGUCGUAGCGGCCGCGACCGUCGUCUCGCCGGGAGGGCUGGUCGGUGCCUCUCGCAUCGUCUCGGAUUAGUUUUUCUGCGUCAUCAGCAUCGGCAUAAUUUUUAGCCGUGGCGAGGAGCUCUGCUACUGUUGAUGGACGUUUACGCAACAGCUUGUUCCUCAGCGCUUCAUGGAAACGUAAGCCCUUGAUAAAGGCUGAUAUGGCCUCGUCAUGAGAAAUCUUCGGGAUUUUGAGACGCAUAUCCGAGAAUCGUCGGAUGUAAUCACGCAGAGGUUCAUUCUUCCUGUCUCUUAUCCUUUCAAGGUCAUACUUGUUUCCGGGCUGUUCGCAUGUGGCGAUGAAGUUGUCAAUGAAAGCCUGUCGUAGUUCUUCCCAAGAGUCGAAGGAGUCCUCGGGCAAGCCGAGAAGCCACUGAUGACCAGCCUGGUCGAGGACUACGGGGAAGUAGUUAGCCAUGACGUGCUCAUCUCCUGCCGCUGAUCGGACGGCGAUUUCGUAGAGGGUGAUCCAGUUCUCUGGAUUUUCCUUGCCGUCGUAUUUUUUAAGUUUUUCGAGCUUGAAAUUUCUGGGCCACACGACCUGGCGGAGGUGUGAGGAGAACUGCCUUAGGCCCGGGGGACCAUGGGUCGCAUCGUACUCGAUGCGGCGUAGGUUUUCGUGGACUGCUCUCUCUGCGGCGCGCCUGUUGAUGCGGUCCCGGGCAUCUUUGGGAGGGAUGUUGUGGCGGAGAUCCCUGUGUUGAUCUUCUUCUUCCUGGCCGCGUACGCGGUUCUGCUGGCGGCGGCCAUCGGCGUCUCGACCACCAUCGUCGCGCCGUGAGUCCCCUCGACGGUUGUCGGGGGAGCGCCUGCGGCGACGCCUGCUGGGCGAGGCCCGGCUACGAUGAGUCUGGUCGGAGGCGGCUUCCGUAUAAGGGACGUCCUGGACUCUCUUAAGCAGAGUUGCUGUCUGUCCCAUCGCGGCGAUCAGGUGUGCUCGGAUACUGGUCCGGACCCCCUGGCAUUCUGGUGUGUCAGGAAGCCGAUCCAGGUUGGCCAUGGCAACAGCCACGUUGGCGCUUGGCGUUUUGUAGACCGGCUGGUCCCCGACCAUGUCAAAGGCAUCGUUGAGGUUACCCGGUGGCGUCUGUUGUUGCUCGUCCGCACGCCGUCGGGCGCGAUCGGCGUUACGCUGUUCGCGGAGUUGCCUCUGGUCGUCUGUUUCUCCGUCAACAACCGGUUCGUCGGCGCUGACAUUGAAUACAAUAUCCCCUCGCCGGGGGGGGGGAAUAUCGGGAACCGGUCGAAACCCGGAGGGUGUGAAGGGAAAUCCAGGUCGUAGCCCUCGUCUUCGGUGUUUAUAACCUCGGUGGGGACGGAGCCGGUGCUUGAGUUGGUGCUGGAAACCUGGCCGUUCCGUAGCUCUCGGAUUGUCACCAUGUUGACAUGGUGACGAUUGUUCCUUGUCGGCGACCAGCCCGCUUUGCUGAAAACGGAUUGAACAUGCUGUGAGUAGACAGAGGCCGAGUUAUUCAGGCCGCAAGGAUGGUCUCCCUUUUUGAGCUCGACGGAUCGGCCUGAGGAGGUUGAGGUUAUCGCCAGGGACGUUCCCAGCCGUUCGUGUGUGGUGACACGAGUUGGCCGGCGGGAUUUCGAAAAAUCCGCUUGAGUGGCUUGGUCGGGCCGGCGCAGAAUUCCAUCUAUUAGUUGGGAGACUUCGAGCAGCUUGGAGUCGGCGCGAUCGAGCGCUUGGAGGAGGUCCGAGCAGUCGAUCUCCUUUCCCUUGUAGAGUGGGAACGGUGGCCGGGAGUUUGGUGCCGUCAUGCGUGUGGUCGGAGACGGCGUGAUCUCAGAUUGGAUCUGGAUCUCUUUCGGGACCGUGGUCGGGAAGCCGCCGCUGCACGUCGUCCACGUGAUCUGGCCGACGGUAAACGUGAGGCCUUCGGGCACGGUCGCGGAAGCUGGGAUCGUGACCAUCUUGUUCGCCGGAAAAGUUGCACGCACACCCCCUACCUGGCGCGCCACUGUCGACGAAAGCUGGUCGGCAGUCUACCUUGGGGUAUACCCACGGUAGUAGUUUAUCGGUAGACGGUGCGCAAACUACGAACUCGAUGGUGACGCAAGACACGGACAAGCUUUUUAUCCAGGUUCGGCCGCCGAGUUGGCGUAAUACCUACGUCCUGCGUCUGGUUGUAUUGGAUUGUGUUUAGAGAUAAUCUACCCUAGGGGGUCCCCUUGCCCCUCCUUAUAUAGUCUGGAGGGCAGGGUUACAGAUCUAGAAACUAAUCCUAGCCGGUUACAAUUGCCAUAGAUAAUUCGAUAUCAAUUCCUAUUCUAACCGACUAGAAUCCUGCUUGAUCUCCACGUCCUGUUUCCUUGCGCGAAACUCGGGCUAUCGGAUCAAGCCUUGAACUCGUCUCGUAGUGGGCCAAGCUUCCUAGCUGAAGUCUAGCCGUAAGGGUAUAGGGGUUUAUACCCCCACACCGUGCGUUCUCCUCCCCUUUAUGCCCGCGCCUCCGUGUACGGCCCGCCCAUAGCUCCUUCGACGGCGCCGCCUAGGAACGCGGAGAAAAUAUGACAAAGGAACGGCCAAAAAUAAAAAGAAAGACCUUUCUUUUGAAAAAACAAACAAAUAAAAGGAAUGCAACACGAGGACUUCCCAGGAGGUCACCCAUCCUAGUACUACUCUCGCCCAAGCACGCUUAACUUCGGAGUUCUGAUGGGAUCCGGUGCUUUAGUGCUGGUAUGAUCGCAUCCGACAUACCGUGCGUUCUCCUCCCCUUUAUGCCCGCGCCUCCGUGUACGGCCCGCCCAUAGCUCCUUCGACGGCGCCGCCUAGGAACGCGGAGAAAAUAUGACAAAGGAACGGCCAAAAAUAAAAAGAAAGACCUUUCUUUUGAAAAAACAAACAAAAAAAAGGAAUGCAACACGAGGACUUCCCAGGAGGUCACCCAUCCUAGUACUACUCUCGCCCAAGCACGCUUAACUUCGGAGUUCUGAUGGGAUCCGGUGCUUUAGUGCUGGUAUGAUCGCAUCCGACAUACCGUGCGUUCUCCUCCCCUUUAUGCCCGCGCCUCCGUGUACGGCCCGCCCAUAGCUCUUUCGACGGCGCCGCCUAGGAACGCGGAGAAAAUAUGACAAAGGAACGGCCAAAAAUAAAAGAAAGACCUUUCUUUUGAAAAAACAAACGCCUCCGUGUACGGCCCGCCCAUAGCUCCUCCGACGGCCCCGCCUAGGAACGCGAAGAAAAUAUGACAAAGGAACGCCCAAAAAUAAAAAGAAAGACCUUUCUUUUGAAAAAACAAACAUUAAAAAGGAAUGCAACACGAGGACUUCCCAGGAGGUCACCAAUCCUAGUACUACUCUCGCCCAAGCACGCUUAACUUCGAAGUUCUGAUGGGAUCCGGUGCUUUAGUGCUGGUAUGAUCGCAUCCGACAUACCGUGCGUUCUCCUCCCCUUUAUGCCCGCGCCUCCGUGUACGGCCCGCCCAUAGCUCCUUCGACGGCGCCGCCUAGGAACGCGGAGAAAAUAUGACAAAGGAACGGCCAAAAAUAAAAAGAAAGACCUUUCUUUUGAAAAAACAAACAAAAAAAAGGAAUGCAACACGAGGACUUCCCAGGAGGUCACCCAUCCUAGUACUACUCUCGCCCAAGCACGCUUAACUUCGGAGUUCUGAUGGGAUCCGGUGCUUUAGUGCUGGUAUGAUCGCAUCCGACAUACCGUGCGUUCUCCUCCCCUUUAUGCCCGCGCCUCCGUGUACGGCCCGCCCAUAGCUCCUUCGACGGCGCCGCCUAGGAACGCGGAGAAAAUAUGACAAAGGAACGGCCAAAAAUAAAAAGAAAGACCUUUCUUUUGAAAAAACAAACAAAAAAAAGGAAUGCAACACGAGGACUUCCCAGGAGGUCACCCAUCCUAGUACUACUCUCGCCCAAGCACGCUUAACUUCGGAGUUCUGAUGGGAUCCGGUGCUUUAGUGCUGGUAUGAUCGCAUCCGACAUACCGUGCGUUCUCCUCCCCUUUAUGCCCGCGCCUCCGUGUACGGCCCGCCCAUAGCUCCUUCGACGGCGCCGCCUAGGAACGCGGAGAAAAUAUGACAAAGGAACGGCCAAAAAUAAAAAGAAAGACCUUUCUUUUGAAAAAAAAAACAAAAAAAAGGAAUGCAACACGAGGACUUCCCAGGAGGUCACCCAUCCUAGUACUACUCUCGCCCAAGCACGCUUAACUUCGGAGUUCUGAUGGGAUCCGGUGCUUUAUUGCUGGUAUGAUCGCAUCCGACAUACCGUGCGUUCUCCUCCCCUUUAUGCCCGCACCUCCGUGUACGGCCCGCCCAUAGCUCCUUCGACGGCGCCGCCUAGGAACGCGGAGAAAAUAUGACAAAGGAACGGCCAAAAAUAAAAAGAAAGACCUUUCUUUUGAAAAAACAAACAAAAAAAAGGAAUGCAACACGAGGACUUCCCAGGAGGUCACCCAUCCUAGUACUACUCUCGCCCAAGCACGCUUAACUUCGGAGUUCUGAUGGGAUCCGGUGCUUUAGUGCUGGUAUGAUCGCAUCCGACAUACCGUGCGUUCUCCUCCCCUUUAUGCCCGCGCCUCCGUGUACGGCCCGCCCAUAGCUCCUUCGACGGCGCCGCCUAGGAACGCGGAGAAAAUAUGACAAAGGAACGGCCAAAAAUAAAAAGAAAGACCUUUCUUUUGAAAAAACAAACAAAUAAAAGGAAUGCAACACGAGGACUUCCCAGGAGGUCACCCAUCCUAGUACUACUCUCGCCCAAGCACGCUUAACUUCGAAGUUCUGAUGGGAUCCGGUGCUUUAGUGCUGGUAUGAUCGUAUCCGACAUACCGUGCGUUCUCCUCCCCUGAAUGCCCGCGCCUCCGUGUACGGCCCGCCCAGAGCUCUUUAGAUGGGACUUCCGAUGGAAUCGGAGACAAUAGGACAAAGGAACGGCCAAAAAUAAAAAGAAAGACCUUUCUUCCGAAAAAACAAACGCCUCCGUGUACGGCCCGCCCAUAGCUCCUUCGACGGCGCCGCCUAGGAACGCGGAGAAAAUAUGACAAAGGAACGGCCAAAAAUAAAAAGAAAGACCUUUCUUUUGAAAAAACAAACAAAAAAAAGGAAUGCAACACGAGGACUUCCCAGGAGGUCACCCAUCCUAGUACUACUCUCGCCCAAGCACGCUUAACUUCGGAGUUCUGAUGGGAUCCGGUGCUUUAGUGCUGGUAUGAUCGCAUCCGACAUACCGUGCGUUCUCCUCCCCUUUAUGCCCGCGCCUCCGUGUACGGCCCGCCCAUAGCUCCUUCGACGGCGCCGCCUAGGAACGCGGAGAAAAUAUGACAAAGGAACGGCCAAAAAUAAAAAGAAAGACCUUUCUUUUGAAAAAACAAACGCCUCCGUGUACGGCCCGCCCAUAGCUCCUUCGACGGCGCCGCCUAGGAACGCGGAGAAAAUAUGACAAAGGAACGGCCAAAAAUAAAAAGAAAGACCUUUCUUUUGAAAAAACAAACAAAAAAAAGGAAUGCAACACGAGGACUUCCCAGGAGGUCACCCAUCCUAGUACUACUCUCGCCCAAGCACGCUUAACUUCGGAGUUCUGAUGGGAUCCGGUGCUUUAGUGCUGGUAUGAUCGCAUCCGACAUACCGUGCGUUCUCCUCCCCUUUAUGCCCGCGCCUCCGUGUACGGCCCGCCCAUAGCUCCUUCGACGGCGCCGCCUAGGAACGCGGAGAAAAUAUGACAAAGGAACGGCCAAAAAUAAAAAGAAAGACCUUUCUUUUGAAAAAACAAACAAAAAAAAGGAAUGCAACACGAGGACUUCCCAGGAGGUCACCCAUCCUAGUACUACUCUCGCCCAAGCACGCUUAACUUCGGAGUUCUGAUGGGAUCCGGUGCUUUAGUGCUGGUAUGAUCGCAUCCGACAUACCGUGCGUUCUCCUCCCCUUUAUGCCCGCGCCUCCGUGUACGGCCCGCCCAUAGCUCCUUCGACGGCGCCGCCUAGGAACGCGGAGAAAAUAUGACAAAGGAACGGCCAAAAAUAAAAAGAAAGACCUUUCUUUUGAAAAAACAAACAAAUAAAAGGAAUGCAACACGAGGACUUCCCAGGAGGUCACCCAUCCUAGUACUACUCUCGCCCAAGCACGCUUAACUUCGGAGUUCUGAUGGGAUCCGGUGCUUUAGUGCUGGUAUGAUCGCAUCCGACAUACCGUGCGUUCUCCUCCCCUUUAUGCCCGCGCCUCCGUGUACGGCCCGCCCAUAGCUCCUUCGACGGCGCCGCCUAGGAACGCGGAGAAAAUAUGACAAAGGAACGGCCAAAAAUAAAAAGAAAGACCUUUCUUUUGAAAAAACAAACAAAUAAAAGGAAUGCAACACGAGGACUUCCCAGGAGGUCACCCAUCCUAGUACUACUCUCGCCCAAGCACGCUUAACUUCGGAGCUCUGAUGGGAUCCGGUGCUUUAGUGCUGGUAUGAUCGCAUCCGACAUACCGUGCGUUCUCCUCCCCUUUAUGCCCGCGCCUCCGUGUACGGCCCGCCCAUAGCUCCUUCGACGGCGCCGCCUAGGAACGCGGAGAAAAUAUGACAAAGGAACGGCCAAAAAUAAAAAGAAAGACCUUUCUUUUGAAAAAACAAACAAAAAAAAGGAAUGCAACACGAGGACUUCCCAGGAGGUCACCCAUCCUAGUACUACUCUCGCCCAAGCACGCUUAACUUCGGAGUUCUGAUGGGAUCCGGUGCUUUAGUGCUGGUAUGAUCGCAUCCGACAUACCGUGCGUUCUCCUCCCCUUUAUGCCCGCGCCUCCGUGUACGGCCCGCCCAUAGCUCCUUCGACGGCGCCGCCUAGGAACGCGGAGAAAAUAUGACAAAGGAACGGCCAAAAAUAAAAAGAAAGACCUUUCUUUUGAAAAAACAAACAAAAAAAAGGAAUGCAACACGAGGACUUCCCAGGAGGUCACCCAUCCUAGUACUACUCUCGCCCAAGCACGCUUAACUUCGGAGUUCUGAUGGGAUCCGGUGCUUUAGUGCUGGUAUGAUCACAUCCGACAUACCGUGCGUUCUCCUCCCCUUUAUGCCCGCGCCUCCGUGUACGGCCCGCCCAUAGCUCCUUCGACGGCGCCGCCUAGGAACGCGGAGAAAAUAUGACAAAGGAACGGCCAAAAAUAAAAAGAAAGACCUUUCUUUUGAAAAAACAAACAAAAAAAAGGAAUGCAACACGAGGACUUCCCAGGAGGUCACCCAUUCUAGUACUACUCUCGCCCAAGCAAGCUUAACUUCGGAGUUCUGAUGGGAUCCGGUGCUUUAGUGCUGGUAUGAUCGCAUCCGACAUACCGUGCGUUCUCCUCCCCUUUAUGCCCGCGCCUCCGUGUACGGCCCGCCCAUAGCUCCUUCGACGGCGCCGCCUAGGAACGCGGAGAAAAUAUGACAAAGGAACGGCCAAAAAUAAAAAGAAAGACCUUUCUUUUGAAAAAACAAACAAAAAAAAGGAAUGCAACACGAGGACUUCCCAAAAUAUGACAAAGGAACGGCCAAAAAUAAAAAGAAAGACCUUUCUUUUGAAAAAACAAACAAAAAAAAGGAAUGCAACACGAGGACUUCCCAGGAGGUCACCCAUUCUAGUACUACUCUCGCCCAAGCAAGCUUAACUUCGGAGUUCUGAUGGGAUCCGGUGCUUUAGUGCUCGUAUGAUCGCAUCCGACAUACCGUGCGUUCUCCUCCCCUUUAUGCCCGCGCCUCCGUGUACGGCCCGCCCAUAGCUCCUUCGACGGCGCCGCCUAUGAACGCGGAGAAAAUAUGACAAAGGAACGGCCAAAAAUAAAAAGAAAGACCUUUCUUUUGAAAAAACAAACAAAAAAAAGGAAUGCAACACGAGGACUUCCCAGGAGGUCACCCAUCCUAGUACUACUCUCGCCCAAGCACGCUUAACUUCGGAGUUCUGAUGGGAUCCGGUGCUUUAGUGCUGGUAUGAUCGCAUCCGACAUACCGUGCGUUCUCCUCCCCUUUAUGCCCGCGCCUCCGUGUACGGCCCGCCCAUAGCUCCUUCGACGGCGCCGCCUAGGAACGCGGAGAAAAUAUGACAAAGGAACGGCCAAAAAUAAAAAGAAAGACCUUUCUUUUGAAAAAACAAACAAAAAAAAGGAAUGCAACACGAGGACUUCCCAGGAGGUCACCCAUCCUAGUACUACUCUCGCCCAAGCACGCUUAACUUCGGAGUUCUGAUGGGAUCCGGUGCUUUAGUGCUGGUAUGAUCGCAUCCGACAUACCGUGCGUUCUCCUCCCCUUUAUGCCCGCGCCUCCGUGUACGGCCCGCCCAUAGCUCCUUCGACGGCGCCGCCUAGGAACGCGGAGAAAAUAUGACAAAGGAACGGCCAAAAAUAACAAGAAAGACCUUUCUUUUGAAAAAACAAACAAAAAAAAGGAAUGCAACACGAGGACUUCCCAGGAGGUCACCAAUCCUAGUACUACUCUCGCCCAAGCACGCUUAACUUCGGAGUUCUGAUGGGAUCCGGUGCUUUAGUGCUGGUAUGAUCGCAUCCGACAUACCGUGCGUUCUCCUCCCCUUUAUGCCCGCGCCUCCGUGUACGGCCCGCCCAUAGCUCCUUCGACGGCGCCGCCUAGGAACGCGGAGAAAAUAUGACAAAGGAACGGCCAAAAAUAAAAAGAAAGACCUUUCUUUUGAAAAAACAAACAAAUAAAAGGAAUGCAACACGAGGACUUCCCAGGAGGUCACCCAUCCUAGUACUACUCUCGCCCAAGCACGCUUAACUUCGGAGUUCUGAUGGGAUCCGGUGCUUUAGUGCUGGUAUGAUCGCAUCCGACAUACCGUGCGUUCUCCUCCCCUUUAUGCCCGCGCCUCCGUGUACGGCCCGCCCAUAGCUCCUUCGACGGCGCCGCCUAGGAACGCGGAGAAAAUAUGACAAAGGAACGGCCAAAAAUAAAAAGAAAGACCUUUCUUUUGAAAAAACAAACAAAAAAAAGGAAUGCAACACGAGGACUUCCCAGGAGGUCACCCAUCCUAGUACUACUCUCGCCCAAGCACGCUUAACUUCGGAGUUCUGAUGGGAUCCGGUGCUUUAGUGCUGGUAUGAUCGCAUCCGACAUACCGUGCGUUCUCCUCCCCUUUAUGCCCGCGCCUCCGUGUACGGCCCGCCCAUAGCUCCUUCGACGGCGCCGCCUAGGAACGCGGAGAAAAUAUGACAAAGGAACGGCCAAAAAUAAAAAGAAAGACCUUUCUUUUGAAAAAACAAACAAAAAAAAGGAAUGCAACACGAGGACUUCCCAGGAGGUCACCCAUCCUAGUACUACUCUCGCCCAAGCACGCUUAACUUCGGAGUUCUGAUGGGAUCCGGUGCUUUAGUGCUGGUAUGAUCGCAUCCGACAUACCGUGCGUUCUCCUCCCCUUUAUGCCCGCGCCUCCGUGUACGGCCCGCCCAUAGCUCCUUCGACGGCGCCGCCUAGGAACGCGGAGAAAAUAUGACAAAGGAACGGCCAAAAAUAAAAAGAAAGACCUUUCUUUUGAAAAAACAAACGCCUCCGUGUACGGCCCGCCCAUAGCUCCUUCGACGGCGCCGCCUAGGAACGCGGAGAAAAUAUGACAAAGGAACGGCCAAAAAUAAAAAGAAAGACCUUUCUUUUGAAAAAACAAACAAAAAAAAGGAAUGCAACACGAGGACUUCCCAGGAGGUCACCCAUCCUAGUACUACUCUCGCCCAAGCACGCUUAACUUCGGAGUUCUGAUGGGAUCCGGUGCUUUAGUGCUGGUAUGAUCGCAUCCGACAUACCGUGCGUUCUCCUCCCCUUUAUGCCCGCGCCUCCGUGUACGGCCCGCCCAUAGCUCCUUCGACGGCGCCGCCUAGGAACGCGGAGAAAAUAUGACAAAGGAACGGCCAAAAAUAAAAAGAAAGACCUUUCUUUUGAAAAAACAAACAAAAAAAAGGAAUGCAACACGAGGACUUCCCAGGAGGUCACCCAUCCUAGUACUACUCUCGCCCAAGCACGCUUAACUUCGGAGUUCUGAUGGGAUCCGGUGCUUUAGUGCUGGUAUGAUCGCAUCCGACAUACCGUGCGUUCUCCUCCCCUUUAUGCCCGCGCCUCCGUGUACGGCCCGCCCAUAGCUCCUUCGACGGCGCCGCCUAGGAACGCGGAGAAAAUAUGACAAAGGAACGGCCCAAAAUAAAAAGAAAGACCUUUCUUUUGAAAAAACAAACAAAAAAAAGGGAAUGCAACACGAGGACUUCCCAGGAGGUCACCCAUCCUAGUACUACUCUCGCCCAAGCACGCUUAACUUCGGAGUUCUGAUGGGAUCCGGUGCUUUAGUGCUGGUAUGAUCGCAUCCGACAUACCGUGCGUUCUCCUCCCCUUUAUGCCCGCGCCUCCGUGUACGGCCCGCCCAUAGCUCCUUCGACGGCGCCGCCUAGGAACGCGGAGAAAAUAUGACAAAGGAACGACCAAAAAUAAAAAGAAAGACCUUUCUUUUGAAAAAACAAACAAAAAAAAGGAAUGCAACACGAGGACUUCCCAGGAGGUCACCCAUCCUAGUACUACUCUCGCCCAAGCACGCUUAACUUCGGAGUUCUGAUGGGAUCCGGUGCUUUAGUGCUGGUAUGAUCGCAUCCGACAUACCGUGCGUUCUCCUCCCCUUUAUGCCCGCGCCUCCGUGUACGGCCCGCCCAUAGCUCCUUCGACGGCGCCGCCUAGGAACGCGGAGAAAAUAUGACAAAGGAACGGCCAAAAAUAAAAAGAAAGACCUUUCUUUUGAAAAAACAAACAAAAAAAAGGAAUGCAACACGAGGACUUCCCAGGAGGUCACCCAUCCUAGUACUACUCUCGCCCAAGCACGCUUAACUUCGGAGUUCUGAUGGGAUCCGGUGCUUUAGUGCUGGUAUGAUCGCAUCCGACAUACCGUGCGUUCUCCUCCCCUUUAUGCCCGCGCCUCCGUGUACGGCCCGCCCAUAGCUCCUUCGACGGCGCCGCCUAGGAACGCGGAGAAAAUAUGACAAAGGAACGGCCAAAAAUAAAAAGAAAGACCUUUCUUUUGAAAAAACAAACAAAAAAAAGGAAUGCAACACGAAGACUUCCCAGGAGGUCACCCAUCCUAGUACUACUCUCGCCCAAGCACGCUUAACUUCGGAGUUCUGAUGGGAUCCGGUGCUUUAGUGCUGGUAUGAUCGCAUCCGACAUACCGUGCGUUCUCCUCCCCUUUAUGCCCGCGCCUCCGUGUACGGCCCGCCCAUAGCUCCUUCGACGGCGCCGCCUAGGAACGCGGAGAAAAUAUGACAAAGGAACGGCCAAAAAUAAAAAGAAAGACCUUUCUUUUGAAAAAACAAACAAAAAAAAGGAAUGCAACACGAGGACUUCCCAGGAGGUCACCCAUCCUAGUACUACUCUCGCCCAAGCACGCUUAACUUCGGAGUUCUGAUGGGAUCCGGUGCUUUAGUGCUGGUAUGAUCGCAUCCGACAUACCGUGCGUUCUCCUCCCCUUUAUGCCCGCGCCUCCGUGUACGGCCCGCCCAUAGCUCCUUCGACGGCGCCGCCUAGGAACGCGGAGAAAAUAUGACAAAGGAACGGCCAAAAAUAAAAAGAAAGACCUUUCUUUUGAAAAAACAAACAAAAAAAAGGAAUGCAACACGAGGACUUCCCAGGAGGUCACCCAUCCUAGUACUACUCUCGCCCAAGCACGCUUAACUUCGGAGUUCUGAUGGGAUCCGGUGCUUUAGUGCUGGUAUGAUCGCAUCCGACAUACCGUGCGUUCUCCUCCCCUUUAUGCCCGCGCCUCCGUGUACGGCCCGCCCAUAGCUCCUUCGACGGCGCCGCCUAGGAACGCGGAGAAAAUAUGACAAAGGAACGGCCAAAAAUAAAAAGAAAGACCUUUCUUUUGAAAAAACAAACAAAAAAAAGGAAUGCAACACGAGGACUUCCCAGGAGGUCACCCAUCCUAGUACUACUCUCGCCCAAGCACGCUUAACUUCGGAGUUCUGAUGGGAUCCGGUGCUUUAGUGCUGGUAUGAUCGCAUCCGACAUACCGUGCGUUCUCCUCCCCUUUAUGCCCGCGCCUCCGUGUACGGCCCGCCCAUAGCUCCUUCGACGGCGCCGCCUAGGAACGCGGAGAAAAUAUGACAAAGGAACGGCCAAAAAUAAAAAGAAAGACCUUUCUUUUGAAAAAACAAACAAAAAAAAGGAAUGCAACACGAGGACUUCCCAGGAGGUCACCCAUCCUAGUACUACUCUCGCCCAAGCACGCUUAACUUCGGAGUUCUGAUGGGAUCCGGUGCUUUAGUGCUGGUAUGAUCGCAUCCGACAUACCGUGCGUUCUCCUCCCCUUUAUGCCCGCGCCUCCGUGUACGGUCCGCCCAUAGCUCCUUCGACGGCGCCGCCUAGGAACGCGGAGAAAAUAUGACAAAGGAACGGCCAAAAAUAAAAAGAAAGUCCUUUCUUUUGAAAAAACAAACAAAAAAAAGGUAUGCAACACGAGGACUUCCUAGGAGGUCACCCAUCCUAGUACUACUCUCGCCCAAGCACGCUUAACUUCGGAGUUCUGAUGGGAUCCGGUGCUUUAGUGCUGGUAUGAUCGCAUCCGACAUACCGUGCGUUCUCCUCCCCUUUAUGCCCGCGCCUCCGUGUACGGCCCGCCCAUAGCUCCUUCGACGGCGCCGCCUAGGAACGCGGAGAAAAUAUGACAAAGGAACGGCCAAAAAUAAAAAGAAAGACCUUUCUUUUGAAAAAACAAACAAAAAAAAGGAAUGCAACACGAGGACUUCCCAGGAGGUCACCCAUCCUAGUACUACUCUCGCCCAAGCACGCUUAACUUCGGAGUUCUGAUGGGAUCCGGUGCUUUAGUGCUGGUAUGAUCGCAUCCGACAUACCGUGCGUUCUCCUCCCCUUUAUGCCCGCGCCUCCGUGUACGGCCCGCCCAUAGCUCCUUCGACGGCGCCGCCUAGGAACGCGGAGAAAAUAUGACAAAGGAACGGCCAAAAAUAAAAAGAAAGACCUUUCUUUGAAAAAACAAAGAAAUAAAAGGAAUGCAACACGAGGACUUCCCAGGAGGUCACCCAUCCUAGUACUACUCUCGCCCAAGCACGCUUAACUUCGGAGUUCUGAUGGGAUCCGGUGCUUUAGUGCUGGUAUGAUCGCAUUCGACAUACCGUGCGUUCUCCUCCCCUUUAUGCCCGCGCCUCCGUGUACGGCCCGCCCAUAGCUCCUUCGACGGCGCCGCCUAGGAACGCGGAGAAAAUAUGACAAAGGAACGGCCAAAAAUAAAAAGAAAGACCUUUCUUUUGAAAAAACAAACAAAUAAAAGGAAUGCAACACGAGGACUUCCCAGGAGGUCACCCAUCCUAGUACUACUCUCGCCCAAGCACGCUUAACUUCGGAGUUCUGAUGGGAUCCGGUGCUUUAGUGCUGGUAUGAUCGCAUCCGACAUACCGUGCGUUCUCCUCCCCUUUAUGCCCGCGCCUCCGUGUACGGCCCGCCCAUAGCUCCUUCGACGGCGCCGCCUAGGAACGCGGAGAAAAUAUGACAAAGGAACGGCCAAAAAUAAAAAGAAAGACCUUUCUUUUGAAAAAACAAACGCCUCCGUGUACGGCCCGCCCAUAGCUCCUUCGACGGCGCCGCCUAGGAACGCGGAGAAAAUAUGACAAAGGAACGGCCAAAAAUAAAAAGAAAGACCUUUCUUUUGAAAAAACAAACAAAAAAAAGGAAUGCAACACGAGGACUUCCCAGGAGGUCACCCAUCCUAUUACUACUCUCGCCCAAGCACGCUUAACUUCGGAGUUCUGAUGGGAUCCGGUGCUUUAGUGCUGGUAUGAUCGCAUCCGACAUACCGUGCGUUCUCCUCCCCUUUAUGCCCGCGCCUCCGUGUACGGCCCGCCCAUAGCUCCUUCGACGGCGCCGCCUAGGAACGCGGAGAAAAUAUGACAAAGGAACGGCCAAAAAUAAAAAGAAAGACCUUUCUUUUGAAAAAACAAACAAAAAAAAGGAAUGCAACACGAGGACUUCCCAGGAGGUCACCCAUCCUAGUACUACUCUCGCCCAAGCACGCUUAACUUCGGAGUUCUGAUGGGAUCCGGUGCUUUAGUGCUGGUAUGAUCGCAUCCGACAUACCGUGCGUUCUCCUCCCCUUUAUGCCCGCGCCUCCGUGUACGGCCCGCCCAUAGCUCCUUCGACGGCGCCGCCUAGGAACGCGGAGAAAAUAUGACAAAGGAACGGCCAAAAAUAAAAAGAAAGACCUUUCUUUUGAAAAAACAAACAAAAAAAAGGAAUGCAACACGAGGACUUCCCAGGAGGUCACCCAUCCUAGUACUACUCUCGCCCAAGCACGCUUAACUUCGGAGUUCUGAUGGGAUCCGGUGCUUUAGUGCUGGUAUGAUCGCAUCCGACAUACCGUGCGUUCUCCUCCCCUUUAUGCCCGCGCCUCCGUGUACGGCCCGCCCAUAGCUCCUUCGACGGCGCCGCCUAGGAACGCGGAGAAAAUAUGACAAAGGAACGGCCAAAAAUAAAAAGAAAGACCUUUCUUUUGAAAAAACAAACAAAUAAAAGGAAUGCAACACGAGGACUUCCCAGGAGGUCACCCAUCCUAGUACUACUCUCGCCCAAGCACGCUUAACUUCGGAGUUCUGAUGGGAUCCGGUGCUUUAGUGCUGGUAUGAUCGCAUCCGACAUACCGUGCGUUCUCCUCCCCUUUAUGCCCGCGCCUCCGUGUACGGCCCGCCCAUAGCUCCUUCGACGGCGCCGCCUAGGAACGCGGAGAAAAUAUGACAAAGGAACGGCCAAAAAUAAAAAGAAAGACCUUUCUUUUGAAAAAACAAACAAAUAAAAGGAAUGCAACACGAGGACUUCCCAGGAGGUCACCCAUACUAGUACUACUCUCGCCCAAGCACGCUUAACUUCGGAGUUCUAAUGGGAUCCGGUGCUUUAGUGCUGGUAUGAUCGCAUCCGACAUACCGUGCGUUCUCCUCCCCUUUAUGCCCGCGCCUCCGUGUACGGCCCGCCCAUAGCUCCUUCGACGGCGCCGCCUAGGAACGCGGAGAAAAUAUGACAAAGGAACGGCCAACAAUAANNNNNNNNNNNNNNNNNNNNNNNNNNNNNNNNNNNNNNNNNNNNNNNNNNNNNNNNNNNNNNNNNNNNNNNNNNNNNNNNNNNNNNNNNNNNNNNNNNNNGUCACCCAUCCCAGUACUACUCUCGCCCAAGGCACGCUUAACUUCGGAGUUCUGAUGGGAUCCGGUGCUUUAGUGCUGGUAUGAUCGCAUCCGACAUACCGUGCGUUCUCCUCCCCUUUAUGCCCGCGCCUCCGUGUACGGCCCGCCCAUAGCUCGUUCGACGCCGCCGCCUAGGAACCCGGAGAAAAUAUGACAAAGGAACGGCCAAAAAUCCAAAGAAAGAUCUUUCUUUUGAAAAAACCACCAUAAAAGGAAUGCAACACGAGGACUUCCCAGGAGGUCACCCAUCCUAGUACUACUCUCGCCCAAGCACGCUUAACUUCGGAGUUCUGAUGGGAUCCAGUGCUUUAGUGCUGGUAUGAUCGCAUCCGACAUACCGUGCGUUCUCCUCCCCUUUAUGCCCGCGCCUCCGUGUACGGCCCGCCCAUAGCUCGUUCGACGGCGCCGCCUAGGAACGCGGAGAAAAUAUGACAAAAGAACGGCCAAAAAUAAAAAGAAAGACCUUUCUUUUGAAAAAAGAAACAAAAAAAGGAAUGCAACACGAGGACUUCCCAAGAGGUCACCCAUCCUAGUGCUACUCUCGCCCAAGCACGCUUAACUUCGGAGUUCUGAUGGGAUCCGGUGCUUCAGUGCUGGUAUGAUCGCAUCCGAUAUACCGUGCGUUCUCCUCCCCUUUAUGCCCGCGCCUCCGUGUACGGCCCGCCCAUAGCUCGUUCGACGGCGCCGCCUAGGAACGCGGAGAAACUAUGACAAAGGAACGGCCAAAAAUAAAAAGAAAUACCUUUCUUUUGAAAAAACAAACAAAAAAAGGAAUGCAACACGAGAACUUUCCACGAGGUCACCCAUCCUAGUACUACUCUCGUCCAAACACGCUUAACUUCAGAGUUCUAAUGGGAUCCGGUGCUUUAGUGCUGGUAUGAUCGCAUCCGACAUACCGUGCGUUCUCCUCCCCUUUAUGCCCGCGCCUCCGUGUACGGCCCGCCCAUAGCUCCUUCGACGGCGCCGCCUAGGAACGCGGAGAAAAUAUGACAAAGGAACGGCCAAAAAUAAAAAGAAAGACCUUUCUUUUGAAAAAACAAACAAAAAAAGGAAUGCAACACGAGGACUUCCCAGGAGGUCACCCAUCCUAGUACUACUCUCGCCCAAGCACGCUUAACUUCAAAGUUCUGAUGGGAUCCGGUGCUUUAGUGCUGGUAUGAUCGCAUCCGACAUACCGUGCGUUCUCCUCCCCUUUAUGCCCGCGCCUCCGUGUACGGCCCGCCCAUAGCUCCUUCGACGGCGCCGCCUAGGAACGCGGAGAAAAUAUGACAAAGGAACGGCCAAAAAUAAAAAGAAAGACCUUUCUUUUGAAAAAACAAACAAAAAAAGGAAUGCAACACGAGGACUUCCCAGGAGGUCACCCAUCCUAGUACUACUGUCGCCCAAGCACGCUUAAGUUCGGAGUUCUGAUGGGAUCCGGUGCUUUAGUGCUGGUAUGAUCGCAUCCGACAUGCCGUGCGUUCUCCUCCCCUUUAUGCCCGCGCCUCCGUGUACGGCCCGCCCAUAGCUCCUUCGUCGGCGCCGCCUAGGAACGCGGAGAAAAUAUGACAAAGGAACGGCCAAAAAUAAAAAGAAAGACCUUUCUUUUGAAAAAACAAACGCCUCCGUGUACGGCCCGCCCAUAGCUCCUUCGACGGCGCCGCCUAGGAACGCGGAGAAAAUAUGACAAAGGAACGGCCAAAAAUAAAAAGAAAGACCUUUCUUUUGAAAAAACAAACAAAAAAAAGGAAUGCAACACGAGGACUUCCCAGGAGGUCACCCAUCCUAGUACUACUCUCGCCCAAGCACGCUUAACUUCGGAGUUCUGAUGGGAUCCGGUGCUUUAGUGCUGGUAUGAUCGCAUCCGACAUACCGUGCGUUCUCCUCCCCUUUAUGCCCGCCCCUCCGUGUACGGCCCGCCCAUAGCUCUUUCGACGGCGCCGCCUAGGAACGCGGAGAAAAUAUGACAAAGGAACGGCCAAAAAUAAAAAGAAAGACCUUUCUUUUGAAAAAACAAACGCCUCCGUGUACGGCCCGCCCAUAGCUCCUUCGACGGCGCCGCCUAGGAACGCGGAGAAAAUAUGACAAAGGAACGGCCAAAAAUAAAAAGAAAGACCUUUCUUUUGAAAAAACAAACAAAAAAAAGGAAUGCAACACGAGGACUUCCCAGGAGGUCACCCAUCCUAGUACUACUCUCGCCCAAGCACGCUUAACUUCGGAGUUCUGAUGGGAUCCGGUGCUUUAGUGCUGGUAUGAUCGCAUCCGACAUACCGUGCGUUCUCCUCCCCUUUAUGCCCGCGCCUCCGUGUACGGCCCGCCCAUAGCUCCUUCGACGGCGCCGCCUAGGAACGCGGAGAAAAUAUGACAAAGGAACGGCCAAAAAUAAAAAGAAAGACCUUUCUUUUGAAAAAACAAACAAAAAAAAGGAAUGCAACACGAGGACUUCCCAGGAGGUCACCCAUCCUAGUACUACUCUCGCCCAAGCACGCUUAACUUCGGAGUUCUGAUGGGAUCCGGUGCUUUAGUGCUGGUAUGAUCGCAUCCGACAUACCGUGCGUUCUCCUCCCCUUUAUGCCCGCGCCUCCGUGUACGGCCCGCCCAUAGCUCCUUCGACGGCGCCGCCUAGGAACGCGGAGAAAAUAUGACAAAGGAACGGGCAAAAAUAAAAAGAAAGACCUUUCUUUUGAAAAAACAAACAAAAAAAAGGAAUGCAACACGAGGACUUCCCAGGAGGUCACCCAUCCUAGUACUACUCUCGCCCAAGCACGCUUAACUUCGGAGUUCUGAUGGGAUCCGGUGCUUUAGUGCUGGUAUGAUCGCAUCCGACAUACCGUGCGUUCUCCUCCCCUUUAUGCCCGCGCCUCCGUGUACGGGCCGUCCAUAGCUCCUUCGACGGCGCCGCCUAUGAACGCGGAGAAAAUAUGACAAAGGAACGGCCAACAAUCAUACGAAAGACCUUUCUUUUGAAAAAACAAACAAAAAAAAGGAAUGCGACACGAGGACUUCCCAGGAGGUCACCCAUCCUAGUACUACUCUCGCCCAAGCACGCUUAACUUCGGAGUUCUGAUGGGAUCCGGUGCUUUAGUGCUAGUAUGAUCGCAUUCGACAUACCGUGCGUUCUCCUCCCCUUUAUGCCCGCGCCUCCGUGUACGGCCCGCCCAUAGCUCCUUCGACGGCGCCGCCUAGGAACGCGGAGAAAAUAUGACAAAGGAACGGCCAAAAAUAAAAAGAAAGACCUUUCUUUUGAAAAAACAAACAAAUAAAAGGAAUGCAACACGAGGACUUCCCAGGAGGUCACCCAUCCUAGUACUACUCUCGCCCAAGCACGCUUAACUUCGGAGUUCUGAUGGGAUCCGGUGCUUUAGUGCUGGUAUGAUCGCAUCCGACAUACCGUGCGUUCUCCUCCCCUUUAUGCCCGCGCCUCCGUGUACGGCCCGCCCAUAGCUCCUUCGACGGCGCCGCCUAGGAACGCGGAGAAAAUAUGACAAAGGAACGGCCAAAAAUAAAAAGAAAGACCUUUCUUUUGAAAAAACAAACGCCUCCGUGUACGGCCCGCCCAUAGCUCCUUCGACGGCGCCGCCUAGGAACGCGGAGAAAAUAUGACAAAGGAACGGCCAAAAAUAAAAAGAAAGACCUUUCUUUUGAAAAAACAAACAAAAAAAAGGAAUGCAACACGAGGACUUCCCAGGAGGUCACCCAUCCUAGUACUACUCUCGCCCAAGCACGCUUAACUUCGGAGUUCUGAUGGGAUCCGGUGCUUUAGUGCUGGUAUGAUCGCAUCCGACAUACCGUGCGUUCUCCUCCCCUUUAUGCCCGCGCCUCCGUGUACGGCCCGCCCAUAGCUCCUUCGACGGCGCCGCCUAGGAACGCGGAGAAAAUAUGACAAAGGAACGGCCAAAAAUAAAAAGAAAGACCUUUCUUUUGAAAAAACAAACAAAUAAAAGGAAUGCAACACGAGGACUUCCCAGGAGGUCACCCAUCCUAGUACUACUCUCGCCCAAGCACGCUUAACUUCGGAGUUCUGAUGGGAUCCGGUGCUUUAGUGCUGGUAUGAUCGCAUCCGACAUACCGUGCGUUCUCCUCCCCUUUAUGCCCGCGCCUCCGUGUACGGCCCGCCCAUAGCUCCUUCGACGGCGCCGCCUAGGAACGCGGAGAAAAUAUGACAAAGGAACGGCCAAAAAUAAAAAGAAAGACCUUUCUUUUGAAAAAACAAACAAAUAAAAGGAAUGCAACACGAGGACUUCCCAGGAGGUCACCCAUCCUAGUACUACUCUCGCCCAAGCACGCUUAACUUCGGAGUUCUGAUGGGAUCCGGUGCUUUAGUGCUGGUAUGAUCGCAUCCGACAUACCGUGCGUUCUCCUCCCCUUUAUGCCCGCGCCUCCGUGUACGGCCCGCCCAUAGCUCCUUCGACGGCGCCGCCUUGGAACGCGGAGAAAAUAUGACAAAGGAACGGCCAAAAAUAAAAAGAAAGACCUUUCUUUUGAAAAAACAAACAAAUAAAAGGAAUGCAACACGAGGACUUCCCAGGAGGUCACCCAUCCUAGUACUACUCUCGCCCAAGCACGCUUAACUUCGGAGUUCUGAUGGGAUCCGGUGCUUUAGUGCUGGUAUGAUCGCAUCCGACAUACCGUGCGUUCUCCUCCCCUUUAUGCCCGCGCCUCCGUGUACGGCCCGCCCAUAGCUCCUUCGACGGCGCCGCCUAGGAACGCGGAGAAAAUAUGACAAAGGAACGGCCAAAAAUAAAAAGAAAGACCUUUCUUUUGAAAAAACAAACAAAUAAAAGGAAUGCAACACGAGGACUUCCCAGGAGGUCACCCAUCCUAGUACUACUCUCGCCCAAGCACGCUUAACUUCGGAGUUCUGAUGGGAUCCGGUGCUUUAGUGCUGGUAUGAUCGCAUUCGACAUACCGUGCGUUCUCCUCCCCUUUAUGCCCGCGCCUCCGUGUACGGGCCGCCCAUAGCUCCUUCGACGGCGCCGCCUAGGAACGCGGAGAAAAUAUGACAAAGGAACGGCCAAAAAUAAAAAGAAAGACCUGUUCUUUUGAAAAAACAAACUAAAAAAAGGAAUGCAGCACGAGGACUUCCCAGGAGGUCACCCAUCCUAAUACUACUCUCGCCCAAGCACGCUUAACUUCGGAGUUCUGAUGGGAUCCGGAGCUUUAGUGUUGGUAUGAUCGCAUCCGACAUACCGUGCGUUCUCCUCCCCUUUAUGCACCCGCCUCCGUGUACGGCCCGCCCAUAGCUCCUUCGACGGCGCCGCCUAGGAACGCGGAGAAAAUAUGACAAAGGAACGGCCAAAAAUAAAAAGAAAGACCUUUCUUUUGAAAAAACAAACAAAAAAAAGGAAUGCAACACGAGGACUUCCCAGGAGGUCACCCAUCCUAGUACUACUCUCGCCCAAGCACGCUUAACUUCGGAGUUCUGAUGGGAUCCGGUGCUUUAGUGCUGGUAUGAUCGCAUCCGACAUACCGUGCGUUCUCCUCCCCUUUAUGCCCGCGCCUCCGUGUACGGCCCGCCCAUAGCUCCUUCGACGGCGCCGCCUAGGAACGCGGAGAAAAUAUGACAAAGGAACGGCCAAAAAUAAAAAGAAAGACCUUUCUUUUGAAAAAACAAACAAAAAAAAGGAAUGCAACACGAGGACUUCCCAGGAGGUCACCCAUCCUAGUACUACUCUCGCCCAAGCACGCUUAACUUCGGAGUUCUGAUGGGAUCCGGUGCUUUAGUGCUGGUAUGAUCGCAUCCGACAUACCGUGCGUUCUCCUCCCCUUUAUGCCCGCGCCUCCGUGUACGGCCCGCCCAUAGCUCCUUCGACGGCGCCGCCUAGGAACGCGGAGAAAAUAUGACAAAGGAACGGCCAAAAAUAAAAAGAAAGACCUUUCUUUUGAAAAAACAAACAAAUAAAAGGAAUGCAACACGAGGACUUCCCAGGAGGUCACCCAUCCUAGUACUACUCUCGCCCAAGCACGCUUAACUUCGGAGUUCUGAUGGGAUCCGGUGCUUUAGUGCUGGUAUGAUCGCAUCCGACAUACCGUGCGUUCUCCUCCCCUUUAUGCCCGCGCCUCCGUGUACGGCCCGCCCAUAGCUCCUUCGACGGCGCCGCCUAGGAACGCGGAGAAAAUAUGACAAAGGAACGGCCAAAAAUAAAAAGAAAGACCUUUCUUUUGAAAAAACAAACGCCUCCGUGUACGGCCCGCCCAUAGCUCCUUCGACGGCGCCGCCUAGGAACGCGGAGAAAAUAUGACAAAGGAACGGCCAAAAAUAAAAAGAAAGACCUUUCUUUUGAAAAAACAAACAAAAAAAAGGAAUGCAACACGAGGACUUCCCAGGAGGUCACCCAUCCUAGUACUACUCUCGCCCAAGCACGCUUAACUUCGGAGUUCUGAUGGGAUCCGGUGCUUUAGUGCUGGUAUGAUCGCAUCCGACAUACCGAGCGUUCUCCUCCCCUUUAUGCCCGCGCCUCCGUGUACGGCCCGCCCAUAGCUCCUUCGACGGCGCCGCCUAGGAACGCGGAGAAAAUAUGACAAAGGAACGGCCAAAAAUAAAAAGAAAGACCUUUCUUUUGAAAAAACAAACGCCUCCGUGUACGGCCCGCCCAUAGCUCCUUCGACGGCGCCGCCUAGGAACGCGGAGAAAAUAUGACAAAGGAACGGCCAAAAAUAAAAAGAAAGACCUUUCUUUUGAAAAAACAAACAAAAAAAAGGAAUGCAACACGAGGACUUCCCAGGAGGUCACCCAUCCUAGUACUACUCUCGCCCAAGCACGCUUAACUUCGGAGUUCUGAUGGGAUCCGGUGCUUUAGUGCUGGUAUGAUCGCAUCCGACAUACCGUGCGUUCUCCUCCCCUUUAUGCCCGCGCCUCCGUGUACGGCCCGCCCAUAGCUCCUUCGACGGCGCCGCCUAGGAACGCGGAGAAAAUAUGACAAAGGAACGGCCAAAAAUAAAAAGAAAGACCUUUCUUUUGAAAAAACAAACACCUAAAAGGAAUGCAACACGAGGACUUCCCAGGAGGUCACCCGUCAUCGUAGUACUCUCGCCCAAGCACGCUUAGCUUCGGAGUUCUGAUGAGAUCCGGUGCUUUAGUGCUGGUAUGAUCGCAUCCGACAUACCGUGAGUUCUCCUCCCCUUUAUGCCCGUGCCUCCAUGUACCGCCCGCCCAUAGCUCCUUCGACGGGACGCUCCUAGGAACGCGGAGAAAAUAUUACAAAGGAGCGCCCAAAAAUAAAAAGAAAGACCUUUCUUUUGAAAAAACAAACGCCUCCGUGUACGGCCCGCCCAUAGCUCCUUCGACGGCGCCGCCUAGGAACGCGGAGAAAAUAUGACAAAGGAACGGCCAAAAAUAAAAAGAAAGACCUUUCUUUUGAAAAAACAAACAAAAAAAAGGAAUGCAACACGCGGACUUCCCAGGAGGUCACCCAUCCUAGUACUACUCUCGCCCAAGCACGCUUAAGUUCGGAGUUCUGAUGGGAUCCGGUUCUUUAGUGCUGGCAUGCUCGCAUCAGGCAUGCCGCGCGUUCUCCUCCCCGGUAGGCACGCAUCUUAGUGUACGUCUCGCCCAUAGCUCCUUCGUUGGGAGCUCCUAGGAGCUCGGAGAAAAUAUGGCAAAGGAACGGCCAUAAAUAAAAAGAAAGACCUUUCUUCUGAAAAAACAAACGCCUCCGUGUACGGCCCGCCCAUAGCUCCUUCGACGGCGCCGCCUAGGAACGCGGAGAAAAUAUGACAAAGGAACGGCCAAAAAUAAAAAGAAAGACCUUUCUUUUGAAAAAACAAACAAAUAAAAGGAAUGCAACACGAGGACUUCCCAGGAGGUCACCCAUCCUAGUACUACUCUCGCCCAAGCACGCUUAACUUCGGAGUUCUGAUGGGAUCCGGUGCUUUAGUGCUGGUAUGAUCGCAUCCGACAUACCGUGCGUUCUCCUCCCCUUUAUGCCCGCGCCUCCGUGUACGGCCCGCCCAUAGCUCCUUCGACGGCGCCGCCUAGGAACGCGGAGAAGGAGUAUGACAAAGGAACGGCCAAAAAUAAAAAGAAAGACCUUUCUUUUGAAAAAACAAACAAAUAAAAGGAAUGCAACACGAGGACUUCCCAGGAGGUCACCCAUCCUAGUACUACUCUCGCCCAAGCACGCUUAACUUCGGAGUUCUGAUGGGAUCCGGUGCUUUAGUGCUGGUAUGAUCGCAUUCGACAUACCGGGCGUACUCCUCCCCUUUAUGCCCGCGCCUCCGUGUACGGCCCGCCCAUAGCUCCUUCGACGGCGCCGCCUAGGAACGCGGAGAAAAUAUGACAAAGGAACGGCCAAAAAUAAAAAGAAAGACCUUUCUUUUGAAAAAACAAACGAAUCCGAGGAAUGCAAGACGAGGACUUCCCAGGAGGUCACCCAUCCUAGUACUACUCUCGCCCAAGCACGCUUAAGUUCGGAGUUCUGAUGGGAUCCGGUGCUUUAGUGCUGGUAUGAUCGCGUCCGACGUACCGUGCGUUCUCCUCCCCUUGAUGCCCGUGCCUCCGUGUACGGCCCGCCCAUAGCUCCUUCGACGGCGCC
RNAcentral lists this long non-coding RNA (59311 nucleotides) under Sorghum bicolor (sorghum). Its description in RNAcentral is "long non-coding RNA (SBIC_LNC015499)". The record is from RNAcentral. Lineage: Eukaryota; Viridiplantae; Streptophyta; Magnoliopsida; Poales; Poaceae.